RNAcentral lists this long non-coding RNA (47665 nucleotides) under Capsicum annuum. RNAcentral's name for it is "long non-coding RNA (CANN_LNC021462)". Lineage: Eukaryota; Viridiplantae; Streptophyta; Magnoliopsida; Solanales; Solanaceae. The record is from RNAcentral.
GACAAAUGAAAAAAAUACGAGCUUAGAAUUUAUUCACGAUAAAAACCCUAAUAUCAAAGUAAAACAACCCUAAUAAUCACCUGAGUAGUCAAAUUUCAUCACAGAGCAACAUAGAAAUCAUAAAAAAAAAAACCAUAGAAAUAACCUAAUUUGAAGUGAAAUCGGGUGAAAUCGAGAGGUUUUAGAGAGAGAGAAAAGUCAAAUGGGUUAUUAUUUAGGUUUUGGGGUAUUUGAUAAGAAUGGGUCGGGUUAUAAACGAGAAUGGGUCGGGCUAUAACAUCAACCAAUCAAAGGGCGCGUGCUUAACAACAUGCAACCUUGACUUGGGUUAGGCUGUUAAGGGGUUGAAAUAAUUCACUUUAAAGAUAUUAAGGAGGUAAAUAAACAGAAGUUAAGUUUAAUUACUAAAGUGAGUUGGGAGGACAAGUUCAGGGGAAAAAGAUGUUUUUCUCUAUAUUGUACUAUACUAUAUGAUAUAAUACCAUACCAUACAGUACUGUACAUUAUGAAACCAUCGCAAACUACCAUCCAAACAAAGUGUAAGUUCAAGCCUCAUAGGACUGUAACAAAAAUAAUUUUAAAAUCCUACUAGUUAGCUGCUUUAUUUUUUUUUUUGAUAACACAUGUGAAUAUUACCAUUUCAUCAAGGAUAAACCAAUGUUCUGUACAUCAAUGGAGCAUCCUGCCCAGUCCUAUAAGGAAUUUGGGAGAACCUCAAACAGGAAUUUUUUCUUUUUAAAAAACAAACUAUUACAAGCAUUAGCGAAAAUUCUAUCUAAUAUCCCUGGAUAAUGCAGUGCUUUUUUUUUUAUCCUUUUAACAUAUCUACUUGACCCCUUAUUUCCUAUUUGAUCUGAAGUAUACUACUCUCUGUCUAUACGAUUCUACUUCAAGAAAACUUCCAGUUCCUUGAUAUCCAUACAUGAUAGAUAAAUGCCUAAAAUAUUGCAGUUUCCACCUCUCUUCUAUACUUUCUCUUAUGCUUCAUAGAGUAGUCAGAAAUGGUUUGCAACACUAAACCAUAGCUAGUAGUAACUCCCAUCUAGUUAUGUAGCUCUCCCAUACCUUCUUAGCCUAUGGACAAUCCCAAAGCAGGUGUUGUAUUAUAGUUUCCAAUUCCCCAGAACUGCAGAGACUAUAGUGGGUCUAAUCAAACUCAAUUCCAAGUUAUAAGCAUUCUUUGCUCUGUCAGAAGUCUCUCUUGUGCAGCAAGCCAUAAGAUAAAUCCAUGUUUAGACAUCAAUACAGCAUUUCAUAUUAAUGGAUCCCUGACAUGAGUGUUCUUCUCCCUGAUAGUGCUUCAUAGCUCACAUAAAUAGAAUAUACACCAGAGAUAUUAAGGAUGUACCUACCAUCAUUAUACCAGCUCUGCAUUCCACCUUUAGUUUGAGCAAUUUCCUCCAAUACCAACUAUUGUCAGCAGGUGGUAAAUGAGACCAAAAAUCUUCAUGGUCCUUCAUAAAAAUCCCAUGUACCCAUCUUGCCCAUUACAACUCCUUCCUAAUAUAAAGUUCCCACAUUAGUUUCCUUACUACUGUAAGAUUCCAGCCUUGCCAUUGCUUUACAUUUAGACCUCUCCACUAUUCAGGUGUACAUAUUCUAGCUCAUGAAACCUGAGUCAUCUUUUUCUUGUCCUCUGAAGCCCCCCAUAAAUAAUCUCUACAUCUUUUAUCACUUCAUCAAGUAUGCUCUUAGGCAGAAUAAACACAGAGCCCCAAAAUUAAUGCAUUGAGAACAAUAUGGCUGAGAUUACCUGCACUCUGCCUGUAGAUGUUAGGUGUCUAGCUGACACAUUUUGAAUCCUCUGAGUUAUCUUCAAAAUUAAUUGAUUGCAAUCCUGCUUACUUUAUUUUUUCCAAACUUAACGGGAGGCCAAGUUAUCUGAUAGGGUAUUCACCUCCUGUAAACCUUGCACAUUCAAAUAUGGCAACUCUAGUCCUGCUAUCAACUUCACCUAGGAAUAUACUAGACUCGUCACUAUUUGCUUCAAGACCUGCUGUUGCAUAAAAGAUUUGUAAUGCUUCCAUCACUAUUUUAACUGAAGUUGUAUUGCCCUUAUAUAAUAUCAUAAUGUCAUCUGCAAAUGCUAGAUGAGUAAGUCUCUCACCCUUGCACAUAGGAUGAAAUCUUAAGUCUGAAAGUUGACCCAUCUUAUGUAGAAUCCUUGACAGGUAUUCCAUUACUGAAACAAAUAGCAAAGGGGAUGCAGGGUCCCUUUGCCUUAAGCCCUUUUUACCUAGGAAGAACCCUUACUCUCUCCAUUGAUAUUAAUAGAAAAAGUGGUAGUAGUCACACCCUGCAUUAUAUAGUGUCUCAAUUGACUAAGAAAUUUAUAUCCUUCAAGUAUUUCCUCCACAAACUCCCACCUAACCAUAUCAUAGGCUUUUCUCAAAUCUAUUUUCAUUAUGCAUCUGUGUCACGAUCUAAACCAAGGCGUAACUAUGACGGGUAUCUCAAGUCUAAUAAGGACCGGAGACUACCCCCACAACUAACCAAACAGAACACAAUACCCUCAACAUCAAAUGAAUUCCAAACAUAUAACAAGAUAACAUAAAAUAAACUCAAGAAAUUUAAGAUAUGUCUAUAACCGAUAACCAACCAAACAACUAACCAACAUCAUCACCCAAGAAAGCACUAAUCCAACAAAGCCUUCUAACAACCUGAAAUUAAUAAAGUGUCGGGACAUGCCCCCAACCCUAACAAUGACAAUAUUAAUGAUAAUGUAAACUCUCAAUUCUAAUCUAAGAAUGGAAACUGAUGAAAUUCAAGUCUUUCAGAGAAUGGAAGCUCACCACUUUACCACAACGAAACGAUGAACUGAGCCGAUCCACCUAACUCUGUGCAGAAAAAAUAGAAGUAUCUCCGGUGCCUACAUCGCGUGGGGAUACAAUGUCUAGAGACGGUUGGUGGGGUGAUCAUUGGCAUGAAACUCAGGAAUAGGGGACAAAAUAAUGCCAAGUCUAACCAUUUCAAAUACCAUAUGAACCACAUCAUAAUACAUAUAAAAAUAAUAUACUGGGAUAGGGAACAAAGCUUUAGCCUGGAUUGUGUUGCUCAACCAUCAUGAAAUAAGAAGGCACCCACGAGCUAUAUGGGCCCAGCUUUCCCCCAGCUGGAAGGGCCCCAACGUGUGUAGCCAUACGAACCAGAGGAUGUAUGUAUGCACCAUGGGAGACUCAAACCUCUCGGCAUACCAAGGUGACUAAAGCACCCAAGUCAUGUAAUGUAAUAUGAGGGACUUGAACCACCUACUCAUGUAAAAUAAUAAUAAGGGGGACUCGAAUCACCCAAUCAUGUAGACUCUCACGUCGGCAACCGAGGUUUCUAGUAUUGGUCCCUCGGGACCUCUACUUUCAUGACUCAACUAAAUAGCCUUCAUUAAAGCCCAAUUAAAACAUUUAACAUACAUUCUCAUUUAUUGAAUCAUGAUACGCAUUUAGGCAUACAUUAUCGAUGUCAUCAUACCUUCUACAUUUGCAAGGUAACAUCGACAUGCCAAAAUAAUUAUCAUCACUUCAGAAAAUUCACAACCUUCAUGGUUCAAUUAUACAUUAGCUUGGGGAAUUACACAACCCCAUAAGGUUUAAUUCAAAAUCAUUUUACUUCAUUAGCUUUUCACGUUGUGCAAUACUUCAAGAGUAGUUCACUGUGCAUUCUUUUUAUAUUCAGAACUAAUUUCAGAAUAUGGGGUUGAGGUCAGUAGCACUUUAAUUGUCAAUAUUCACAAAUUGGGGAAAUCACAAUCCCCUAGUUUAUUCACCAUACCCGUGCAUCAAAUCAAUUUUAAAACCGUCAUUUAAAAAUAAUCAAUACAUAUACAAACAAGAAAAUCACAUAAACAAUAAUUAUUCAUUACCCUCAACCCAUGUUCAAAAUCAACAUUAAAAUUUUAUGAAUAAUACUUUAAAAUACAUGUUUUUAGUAAAGUAAUAAUUUGGAAAGAGUAGAAUGCCUGAAAUACCCAAGAUUAUGGGGAGAAUUCAACCCUUGAAGCUCUACUUGACCCAUUUCUUGGAAACCCUAAGUAUGGAUGCUUAAGAGACUUGAGAGAGAAGAAAGAAUAUUUGGAGUGUGUUAUCAAUGAAAAUAGGGCCCCAAGUAUGUUUAUAGGUCAUGAGUUAUUAUUGGGAUAUGAGGAAAAUGUCUAAAAUACCUUCAUUAAAAGAUGGAAAAAUAAAUUAUCAGUCGUUACGGGUCUCAUAACGACUCAUUACGACUCGUCUCCAUGAGUGGUUGUCAAGACAGUGUUACAAGACACACACACUGUUGACCUUAUGACUCGUAUACCGCAUGGCUCGUAAUGAGACCCUACGACUCGUAGGGUCCAGUCGUAGUCAACACAGAAACCAUUUGGGUAUACACUGGACAUCCUACAAUUUACACGCAAUGACCCAUCACAAGUCCUCAUGACUCGUAGUGAGCCGCUCGUACUCAGAGCAGAAGACUUAGCCUCACACACUGGUUAGGCUAUGAUUUGGGUUUAAUGACUCAUCUACGACUCGUAGAGUAAGUCAUGGUCAGGACAAUGAGGAUAAAAUUUUAGGAAUUUCUCAGAGAUCAGCACUGGGGCAUUUCAAUCUAGGUGAUGUCUUCCUCUUGUAGUGUCUCAUUAGAUCACAACGCAUUAACACAAUAUAGAUAAGUAACUUUCCAUAAUUAAAUGCAGCCUGAGUAUGACUAAUUAAUGUAGGAAAGACAAGCUUCAUUCUAGUACAUAAAAUCUUUGAAAUGCACUUAUAUAGGACAUUACAACAUGAUAUGAGUCUUUAUUGGCUAGCAUUAACAGAAUUGUCAACUUUGGGAAUCAAUGUAAUGAUGGUAGCAUUAAUUUAAGUGAGAAGUUUACCAGUCUUAAAAAAUUCCAUUGCCAAAGCCAUCUGACCUUGGGUUGUUGUUCACAUUAAUGGAGAACACAACAUCCUUCACCUCUUUAGCUGCCAGGGGAAGCAUCAAACCAAGUUAUUGAGAUGUCUCCAAAGCAGGUCCUGUAUAAAAUCAGUCUACACGAGCCUUGCUCCUAGCCCCAUCCACAGCACCUAAUAGCUUUUGAUAGUACUUGAAAAAUACCUCAGCUAUCAAUUCUAGUUAAGUCUUCAUCAAACCUAUUCUCAUCUUUCACCUGUGUGAUAGCUUGUGCCAGUCUUUUUUCCUUAAUAAUAGAGUGCAAAUAUCUUGUAUUUUCAUCUCCUAAUCUCACCCAUGUUGCUUUACUUUUUUGCAAUUAAAAGGAUUCAUCUAGAAUUUAUAAGUCUUUAAAUCUGGUACAAGCUUGUUUUUUCCUGCUCUUGAAGCAACACAUAGGAAGGAUCCAAUUGCAGUUUGAUCUAAGCAAGAUACAUAUUCUCUCUUUAUGCUUCCACCUUUGAUAAGAUACCCCUAUAAUGUCUAGUAUGCAAUAUAUUCAGUUGUGUCCUUAACAUCUUUAAUUUCUUAACCACCUUAAACAUAGUAAACCCCUGAAUCUGGACCUCCCAGCUCUUCUUUAUUAUUACCUAAAAAUUAGGGUUAUAGCUUCAGAAGUUGCAAUAUUUAAAUUUUGGUUGCCUCCUCCUCUGUUGUUGUAGUAUAGUUAUAUGAGCAGGACAAUGGUCACUUACACCCUCAGAUAGGUACUGAUACACACAAAAAGGCAUAUUAUUUAUCUAAUCACCAUUCACCCAAACCCAAUCAAUCUUGGAAAUCCAUCACAUCUGCAUGUGUAACUAGAUUACCUUCUCUUCUAUUUCUUUAUUUAGGACAUCAUUAAAGUCCCCCACAACUACCUAAGGUCCUAUAUAACCAGAUCCAAUACCACGCAAUUCCUUCCAUAAUUAUUUUCUCUCCUCUUUUCUGUUGUAAUCAUAAACAUAGUUCAUUAUAAACUCCUUCUGGAAUAGUUUACACAACACCUUGCAAGUGACAUCCUGUGCUGAGUUUUCCAAUAAUGUAAUAUGAUAUAUGUGUGGCUUCCAGACUACCACAGUCCUCCCAUUAUAAUGGGAUGCUAAGUUUGUGAGAUAUUCCACCCAAAGAAUAUAUUAGACAUACUACUCUCCAUAUUAGUUUCUAAUAACCCUACCAUACCAGCUUCUUUAUUUUUUCAGAAAAGAGCAACCUCUUUUUGUUUAUUAUGGCCACUUAGGGCUCUCAUAUUCCAACUAAUAAAAUUAACCAUUCCUUAAAGGAGCAAUUAAGUCACCUAUAUUUCCAACCUAACCAAGUUGUAAAUCCUACACCUGAGGGUCUUUAUCCUGCAGUUGGUAAGUGUUUUUUAUUAGCACACCUUGCUUCAAUGUAGCUGGAGAUUUUGCAGUUUUGAUUGGAAGAGCCCAAGUCUACUCACUCCCCAGUACCUAUCCCUAUGUACCUCAUGAUAUUGAUCAGUAUCCGCCUUCUUCGACUCGCCCUUUUCCUCCUUGAUUGGUACAUUAGUCACUUCAACCUUCUUUGUGUCUUUCUUAUGCACCUCAGCCUUCUUUUUCUGACAUACUUCCUCAAUGUGCCCAUAUUUAUGGCAAGCCUUGCAAAUGGAAGGAUGCUAGUCGUAUGUUACCUUCUGUGUGACCAACAUUCCCUUCUCAUUACAGAACAUAAUUCCCUUAGGUAGAUUCUCCCCCAUUUUCACCUCAACCAGCAAUCGAGCAUAAUUCAGCCCCAUCUUCUUCUCCGUAUACCGACCACCAUUAUUGGCUUCCCUAUUAGGCCACCCAAUUUUCUUAAUCCUUUAGCACUAUAACAUUUGAAUUCAAGCCCUAUAAAUCAAAUCCUGAUUGGAAUUGAGUGUAAUUCUUCACUAGAAAAAUCCAUUUCCUCACUCCAUGCCUUGACAAUACAUAGUUUAUUUGUCAAAAUGCACAAUCCCUCUUGUAGCACUUCAUCCCUACUCUAUACUGUAUCAAAUUGCAGUAGGAUAAUUCUACUUUUCAACAUGAACCAUUGUUGAUUCAAUAUUUCCCCCACAUCCUUUGAACAAAUCCAUUUAGCAUUGCAAAAGGAGGAUGAGCUCCGAGAACAUAGCAAGCUACAGCCGACUUCCAGUAAUCAAUCUCCAAGUUAGUGUCUUCUAUAUCAGUAUUAAUCUGCUUACCUCCCUUCAAAUCAGGCUUAACAUACUCUAUUUUAAACCCAGCAUUAGACAUUUUGGAAGUAUCAAAUUUCUCCCAAAUUGAAGGACUAUCCGGCUUUACCUGAGUCACCUGGGCUUCCUCUUCUUCCACAGCACCUGCCCAUGUUUGGGUUUGUACUGAUUGCAGAGUAAAACACAUCGACCCAUUUCCUCAAAGUAUCCUGACCUGCUUUCAAUUUCUGUUCUGUCAAUUUUGGUGAUACAUUAAUUUGAGCAUCAUUAUGUCUUACUAUUUUCUCCAUUUCCUAACUACGUAGAGUACGCACUACUCCAAUACUAGUUUUCCCCUCUCUAAUUUGCCCUGGAACCUUGCCCAAUGCCAAUGGUUUUGCUCUCCUGCCCAUGGCUGGCGUACAUUAGAACAACGUGCACUCUAAGAGAGAAAAAUCGUCUGGACUUUAGCUACUUUAUUUCUGAGGCAUAUUUUCAAUAGUUAUAGCAAAGAAUAUUUCCUACAUUCAACUAGAGUUUUCUUUUUUAUAUAAUUAAGUUGACUUACAAUAAGAAAUAACACUUCCUACCGAAUUUAAUAACGUAAAACUUAAGAAAAUAAAGUAAUAAUUUGUUGUAGUGAACUUUGCAAGUUGCAAAUAAAUUGAUACUUAUCACAAGAGAUGCCUCAAUAGAUUUAUGGCCUAAAAUCAAAAUAUAUUAAAGGUCCCUAAACUUGUUUUAUAAACAAUCGGGUUAGGAUCCCCUCUGUUGAUCUUUUGCUCCCGUAUUCCUCAAUGAAGGUAUGGGACUGUGUCAACUCAGAAUAUCUGAAGACUCUAAUUGAUUUGUAGAUGUGUAAGGGCCUUCAAUGGGCAUUACGCAAUGUCAGGCGGGUUCUCGAUGCAAUUAUCAAACACAAUGAGAAAUUCUUUUUAAAAAGGAACAAUGAUGAUGAUAUAUAUGUUAAACAACAUUUUUCAGUGAACAAAUGUCUCCCCCUUUCAAAAGAAAUCAGAUAGAACACACAGGAAUGUCUAAAUAAUAAUUGAGAAGUAGUCUGUAAGGAACGAGAAUCUGGUUAUUGCGGAAUUUAGCCAAAUAAUCUUAUAACAACAAUAAUAAAGACAAUAACAAGUUGAUAGUGACAGUAUUUAAAAAAAUAAAGGAGGCACAAAUUUAGCGUGGUUCGGUCAGUGUGACCUACGUCCACGAGCAGAGAGGAACAACUUCAUUAUAUCAACAAGAGUACAAUAGAGAGAUUACAAAAUUAAAGUAGUCACUCUAAUUAACCCAAAUAUCCCAAGAGAACAACCUCACAAGAUCACUCCAAAAGAAAGGGCUCACAAAAGUGUUUCCCAACACCCACUCUCUAACUAAAUACUCUAAUAGAAAGGGAAAAUAGAUACAAGAGAAUGAAAGAAAACUCUUGAAAAUUGAUAUGUUACAAAUGAGAAAGAAGGCCACUAUUUAUAGAGAUAAAAAUGGACUUGUUGAUGUCAUCCAUAAUGAAAAUGAAAGAUGUAAAUUUCAACAUUUGCAUGUGAAUGGAAGAAAUUUUCAACAAAAUCUUUGGUAGCAAUUUUGUUUGAACAAGUAGCAACUUUGUUAGAAAAAUCCAAAAAAUAAUCUUUCAAAAAUAUUUGGUAGCAACUUUCCUUGACAAAGCAAGUGUGAAUCAUAGAAUAAACAAAGGCCACAUUACAAAUCUCCACCUUGACUUGAGUUUGGUUAAUAUAGUAAAUUUCCUUUCUCUCCGCAAAAGCCCAUGUGGGAAAAAUCAUUCUUCACAAAUGGCAAUCAGGCUCAAGAAAAGCUUGAAUUUACUGACCGAAAGACACUUUGUGAACAUGUCUGCAGGAUUGUCUCUAGUGUUGAUCUUCUGAACAGAGAGCUUUCCUUCAAUAAUAGAUUCCCGAAUAAAAUGAUACUUGAUGUCAAUAUGCUUCGUCCUCUCAUGAUACAUUUGAUCUUUAGUCAAGUGGAUUGCACUUUGACUAUCACAGAAAAUAAUAAUACCACCUUGGUGUGGACUGAAUUCAGUAAAUAGACCCUUCAACCAUAAGGCUUCUUUGAUAGCCUCGGUCACUGCCAUAUAUUCUGCAUCGGUAGUAGAUAAAGAUACUACGUGUUGUAAUAUAGCUUUCCAACUAAUAGCACAACCACCAAUGCAAAAUACAUAGCCAGUCAAUGAUCUUCUUUUGUUAAGAUAACCUGCAUAAUCUGAGUCUACAAAACCAACCAAAGUGUUAGUAUUUCUUCCGAAUUCCAAACAUGCAUUUGAAGUACCACGCAAGUAUCUGAGAAUCCAUUUCACCGCCUACCAAUUUGCUUUUUCAGGAUAAGCCAUAUAUUGAAUUACCACACUUACUGCUUAUAAAAUAUCUGGAUAUGUACAUACCAUUGCGUACAUAAUAUUGCCAACUGCACUAGAAUAUGGUACAUGUGUCAUAUACCUUUCUUCUUUCUCUGACUGUGGUGACUGAGCAGCUGAUAACUUAAAAUGAGCAGCACGAGGAGUACUUACUGGUUAGCUUCUUUUAUGCCAAACCUCUCCAAGACCUUCUCCAAGUACUUCUUCUGGGUCAAAAAUAGCUUGCGGGCUUCUCGAUCUCUUCUAAUCUCCAUGCCAAGGAUUUUAUUAGCUGCUCCCAAAUAUUUUAUUUCAAAUCCACUUUUCAGUUGACUUUUCAAAUUAUGAAUUUCUGUUAAAUCCUUAGCAGCAAUGAGCAUGUCAUCGACAUAUAAUAGUAAGUAAACAAAUAAACCAUCAUUUAACUUUUGAAAGUAAACACAACUAUCAUACAUGCUCCUUGAAUAACCAUGACCCAACAUAAAGAAAUCAAACCUCUUAUACGACUGUCUUGGGGAUUUUUUUGAUCCGUACAAGAAUUUCUUUAACAAGCAAACAUGAUCUUCCUUUCCUUCAAUUUUAAAUCCUUCAGGUUAUUGCACGUAUAUUUGUUCCUCAAGUUCGUCAUGUAAGAAAGUUUUGCUUAACAUCAAGCUGCUCUAAUUCUAAAUCAUGCAUGGCAACUAAGGCAAGCAAGAUACGAAUAGAGUUAUGUUUAACAAUAGGUGAGAAAAUAUCAUUAAAAUCAACUCCUUGUAUCUAACUAUAGCCCUUUGCAACUAAUCAUGCCUUAUACCUUACAUCUUCAACCCCUGGAAUUCCAUCUUUUUUCUUGAAAACCCAUUUGCAACCAAUGAUUCUGCUUCCUGAAGGCGGCUUCACAAGAGACCAAGUAUCAUUCUUAUAGAGAGAUUCAAUUUCUUCAUUCAUUGCAAUCAGCCACUUGUCUGAAUCACCACCAGAAACUGCUUCUGAAUAAUUUGAUGGUUCUCUAAUUUCUUCAGUUUCCUGUGCAACUGAAAAAGUAAAUGCAAAAAUGCAACAUAAUCUCCAUACCUUUCUGGUUUGUGAAUUUGUCUUCUUGGCCUAUUUGUUGCUAUGGAAUACUCAUUUGGUUCAACUUCAGAAGUCAUAACUUCUGGCUCAACUUCUAUAGUUUCAACUGUAUUUUGUUUCGCAGUUGAUAAGCUUGGCUCAGAAGGUAUGCCAAGCUCAAUCUCCACCUGUUCAUACAUAUCAUGAUCUUUGCUCUUGGUGCAAGAGCUAGAAGACUCUUUUAUGGAAUGUAACAUGGAGGAUUCAUCAAAGGUUACAUUUCUGCUAAUUAUAAAUUUUGGUGACUUGGGAUAAGGCACCAAAGUUUGUAUCCUUUUACCCUAGUUGCAUAUCCAAGGACAAUACACUUUGUAGCUCUUGGCUCUAAUUUUCCAUCAUUUACAUGCAUGUAAGCAGGACAACCAAAAACUUUUAAGUCAGAAUAAUUAGUAGGUGUACCUGACCAUAUUUCCUCCAGAGUCUUGAAGUUCAAAGGUGCAGAAGGAGCACGGUUGAUAAUAUAACAAGCUAUAGAGAUAGCCUCUACUCAAAAAGCAUUUGUCAACCCAACAUUUGAAAUCAUGCAACAGGCUAUUUCCAAAAGAGUCUUGUUCAUCCUUUCUGCAAUACCAUUUUGUUGAGGUGUCAUUCUCACAGUUCGAUGUCGAGAAAUUCCUUCAUUUUUGCAAAAUUCAUUGAACUCGUCAUUACAAAAUUCCAAGCCAUUAGCAAUUCUAAGCUACUUGAUCUGUUUUCCUGUUUGUUUCUCAAUCAAAACUUUCCAUUGUUUGAAAGUUAAGAAAAUAUCACUUUUGUUUUUAAGGAAAUAAACCCAAACCUUCCUUGAAUAAUCAAUAAUAAAAGUUAACAUAUACCUGGCACCACUUUUUGAUGAGGUACGGGAAGGACCCCAAAGAUCUGAAUGAAUAUAGUCCAAAGUAUCUUUUGUUCGAUGAACUGCUAGAGAUUUGAAGCUGACUCUUUUCUGCUUUCCAAACACACAAUGUUUGCAAAACUUUAUUUUUUUCGAUACUUUGUCCACACAGUAGACCUCUUUUGCUGAGGAUGAAAAGACCUUUCUCACUCAUAUGUCCUAAUCGCAUAUGCCACAAUUUGGUGAUGUCGGGAUCAAAAUAAUUUAAAGUAAAAACUGCAGCAGCACUUGUAACAGUGGAUCCUAAUAAAGUGUACAACGUACUUGAUCUGUGUGCUUUCAUGAUCACAAGAGCGCCUACAGAGACUUUCAAAACUCCACAUUCACCUGUGUAUUUACACUCAAGGGAUUCUAGAGUGCCCAAUGAAAUGAGAUUUUUCUUCAAGUCAGGAACAUAUCUAACAUUGGUGAGAGUUCUUACCACACCAUCGUGCAUUCUAAUUUGGAUGUACCUUUACCAAAAAUUUUGCAAGGAGCAUUGUUGCCCAUCGUUAGAUUUAAAACUAUUAUUAGUUGUCAAAAAUAUUGUUCCCUUAGACUCAUCAGCAGCUACAAUUGCUUCGGUAGAGUUAGUAUUUUGGUGCUUAUUUUUGUUUUCCUUAUGCUUUUCUUUGUUUUUCAACUUAUAGCAUUCAGAAUUAAUAUGACCUUUCUUAUGACAAUAUUUGCACACAAUAUUUCUAGAUUUAGACUUUGACCUUGAUUUAGACCUCUCACUAUUUGAUUCUUUCUUAUUAGAUCUACCUCUUACAAACAAUCCUUCCCCAUUGGUUGCGCUACUUUCCCCGGUAAUAUCUCUAUCUAUCUGUUCCUUUGUUUUUAAGAUAGAUUUAAUUUCUUUGUAAGAGAUAUUAUUCUUUCCAUAAAGCAUAGUAUCUCUAAUAUGCUUAAAUGAUUGGGGUAAAGAAAUAAGUAAUAAGACGGCUUGAUCUUCAUCAUUAACUUCAGCGUCUAUAUUACUCAAAUCCAUAAGAAUAGAAUCAAAAGCAUCAAGAUGUGAAAGUAUAGAAGUACCUUCAACCAUAUGAAAUAUGUAAAGCUUUUGCUUCAGGUAAAGUCUAUUUUCUACUAUCCUCUUCAUAAACAAGGUUUUUAGUUUUUUCCACAUGCCUUUUUCCGUGGUUUUUACAGUACUUUACGUAAAACCUCAUUUGAGAGAUUUAGAAUGAUACCUGAUUUUGCCUUUUUGUCUAUGACGGCAAACUCUUCGUCCUUCGUACUUUCAGGCUCCUUCUCUUUUCCUUCCAGUGCCAGAUCUAAGCCAUCCUAAAUUAGGAUAGCUUCCAUAUUUAGUUUCCACAUUUCGAAGUUUGCACUUUGAUCAAAUUUCUCAACGUAAGUCUUUGUUAUAGUCAUUUUGGCUACUUAAAAAAAACCUGGUUAGAUCCGGCUCUGAUAUCAAUUUGUAAGGAUCGAGAACGCGGUUAUUGAGGAAUUUAGCCAAACAAUCUUAUAAUAACAAUAAUAAAGACAAUAACAAGUUGAUAGUGACGGUAUUUAAAAAAAUAAAGAAGGCACAAAUUUAACGUGGUUCGGUCAGUGUGACCUACGUCCACGAGCGGAGAGGAACAACUUCACUAUAUCAACAAGAGUACAAUAGAGAGAUUACAAAAUUAGAGUAAAUAUCCCAAGAGAAUAACCUCACAAGAUCACUCCAAAAGAAAGGGCUCACAAAAGUGUUUCUCAACACCCACUCUCUAAUUAAAUACUCUAAUAGAAAGGGAAAAUAGAUACAAGAGAAUGAAAGAAAACUCUUAAAAAUUGAUAUGUUACAAAUUAGAAAGAAGGCCCCUAUUUAUAGAGAUGAAAAUGGACUUAUUGAUGUCAUCCAUGAUGAAAAUGAAAGAUGUAAAUUUCAACAUUUGCAUGUGAAUGGAAGAAAUUUACAGCAAAAUCUUUGGUAGCAACUUUGUUUGAACAAGUAGCAACUUUGUUUGACAAAUUCAAAAAAUAAUCUUCCAAAAAUAUUUGGUAGCAACUUUUCUUGACAAAGCAAGUGUGAAUCAUAGAAUAAACAAAGGCCACGUUACAUAAUCUCUUAUAACAAAUCCAAUCAAUUAAACAAGACUGAUAAGGGGAAAAUUCUAUUGGACUUCUAACAGAAUGCCUAUCAGAAGACCAAAUUAUGUAUCCCUGGGAAUGUCCUGUAAUAUCUGAUGACUUAAAUGUUACAUUAUAAGAUGCCUUCUGAUUCAACGCUGUGAAUUUCAAGAUGUUGGGAUUAACAGUCACCGUGAUGCCUUUGAGUCCAAAUAUUUUAACUGUGUAAGCUGAAAUUGCUUCUCCGACGUUAGUCACAGUCCUCGUAUAUGUCUGAUCACUUGAUUCCUUAGGAAUAGAAAAUGAAGGGUAGUUCAACUCUGAUUGAGGUAUCCUUGAUGUACAAUGUACCUUCUUUUUCACAAUGGCACUGACUUGAUCAUCUGUGUAGUUCAAGCCACACAAGUAUGGGAUGUAAUCUUCAGGCUGGAUGUCAUAAACGAGUCCUGGAUCAUUUGCUCUUGAUGGAUUCACAUGCCCUGACCCGAGUGUAAGUAGGUCAGCAGGUUGAAGUGUCUCGUCCUGAAUUGGAUCGUUUCCAAGGUUGAUGAAAUCAGCUGUGGUCAUGAUUGCGGAUUUAACUGCAGCUGGAGACCAAUCUGGAUGUGCGCUCUUUAAUAGUGCUGCAACUCCUGCAAGGUGAGGGCAAGACAUCGACGUUCCAGAAAGGAAGUUAAACGACCAUGAUGAAGAUGAGGAUGCUGUCUCGACCUCUAUAGAGGCUGGCCACGCUGCUAGGAUAUUCACUCCAGGACCAAUAAUGUCGGGCUUUAGUAUGCCCGGACUCUGCACAAAUGGACCCCUGGAAGAAAAGUAAGCAACUGUUGGUGCGUGCUUGUCUCCAAUUCUCGUUCCCUUGAAUGAUAUUGUAGCAACUGGUUUUGAUGUUGAUUUCAUAUAGUUUAUGAUCAUUUUUCCGUUGCUGUAACUAACAUGUGUCGUGGGAAGGACAUGAUAUUCUGAAAUUGUUGUAGAGCCACGAGACUCUUCAUUCAUGAGAAUCAUGCCAGCACCACCGGCAUUUUUCACUACUCCUCCUUUGUCAAUUCUAGACGAGUAUCCACUUGUAUCACACAACACUAUUUUACCCUGGACAUCGCUUAAAUUCAACAAUACAUCACAAUCGUUACCAUUCACGAGUGGUAAAAAUUUUCGUGAAAAAUUUGUUGGCUGGAAGGCUGAUUCUCCUUCAUACUCUGCUCCGUUACCCAAAACUGCUACCGCACUUAUCUUUCUAUCUGUUGUGCUAGCACCAACGGUUACAAUCCAUGGGGCUCCGUUUAUUACACUACCAUUACCUGGUCCAUCAUUUCCUGCAGCAAAACUUACAAAAAUCCCCUUCUCCAUCGCACUGUAUGCACCAACUGCCAUAUAAUCAUCAUAUAAAGGCGGAGACUCGUCUAAUCCAAGUGAAAUGGAAAUCACAUCCACACCAUCUUCAAUUGCAGCGUCAAAUCCAGCUAAGACAUUGGAUUCUUGACAAUCAAGAUAACAGACUUUGUACAUGGCCACAUGGGCUCGUGGCGCAAUGCCAACAGCCGUGCCAUUAGCAUUACCAAAAAAAUUGGCACCAUGCACAAAGUUCCCCGCAGCUGUGCUUGAAGUAUGUGUUCCGUGCCCAUUUUCGUCCCAAGGGGACAUAUCCGGCACAAAAUUUCUGGCUCCAAUAAGUUUAUUAUUACAAUAUGUUGUAAUGUUGAACUCACAUUUGCCUUUCCAUUUAACAGGUGGAUUAGGCAUUCCAAUUUCAUUAAAAGAAGAAUGUUGAGGAGUAAUUCCAGAAUCUAAUAAACCAAUAAUCACACCGUUGCCUGAAUUUGAUGCAUUCCACAAGCCAACAUUCUGAUGCAAGCCAAGGAAACUUGGACUGUGUGUGGUGUGCAUCUGAAGUACACGUUGGGGACGCGCUGAUACAAACCAGGCUUCUUUUCCAUUUCCUUCACUUCAGUUGAUGACAAAGUAGCAGCAAAACCAUUGAACACAUGACGGUAAGAGUAUGAAAUGCGCGAUGAAUGAUUUGAAUUUGUAGGCAAAAAUGAUUGAUGCCAGACAUGUAAAUCUUUUGAAUUAGAAAGAACUUGAUCAUGAAUUUCAAGAUGUACUAUAUAAGUUUCAAAAUCACUUUGAUUAGUGAAAUGGUCACCAAAUGCUUUUGAUGAAUGCAAUAGGACAAAGCAGAGAAAGGUAGAAAUGAGUUUCAAAUCCACGUUUUUUUUCUGGGUGACUAUCAGAUUUUCCAUUACCAUAUAAUAGUACGAAAACUCUUAAUUUAUUAUGGUCCAGUUUGCUGCCAAAUAAUCCAUAGUUAGUAAGUUGACUGAAAAUAAGAAUAAUAUAGUCAAUAUUACAAGGAAGAAAAUUAAAUGGAUUCUUGGCUAGUCAUCAGUUUAGACAUAUAUAAUGCAGUUCAAUUACCAUAUAAUAGUAUGAACACUCUUAAAUGCCUAAUCUAUAUAUUGUUGAUUAGAUCAUACUUAAUUUAUUAUGGUUAGUAAUUCAGUUUGCUUCCAAAUUAUCCAUAGUUAGUUGAGUGAAAACAAGAAUAUUAUAGUCAGUAUUACAAGGAAGAAAAUCAUACAAAUUCUUGGAACUUAGUCAAUAGUUAGUAAGUUGACUGAAAACAAGAAUUUAGUCAAUAGUCAGUAAGCUUGACUGAAAAUAAGAAGUGUAGUCAAUAGUUUAAAAUUUUCUUACAGUCCUUUAAUCUUCUUUAUGGAUAUCCUUACAAAGAAUAUGAAAAUAAGAACAGUAUAAUGAUAGUUUAAAAUUUUGUUUAUUACCAAAAAAAAAGUUUAAAAUUUUGUUUGCUUGAACUUACAGUCCCAUAAUCUUCUUUAUGAAUAUCCUAACAAAAAUAAGUAAAAGCUCCAUAAAUUCCUACUCUUUUGGAGUUAAUUAUUUCUUAUGUCACUCUUUUUUCAAAACUAUUAAACUUUUCUCAUUUAAUCGACAAGAAUAUAUCACAUUCUUCCGAAUAAAUCACUUAAUUUGCACAGAGACAUUACAUUCUUCUGAAUACAUUAUUUAAUUUUAUAUGGAUACAUCACAUUCUUCCAGAUAGGCCAUUUAAUUUUACAUGAAUAUAUCAUAUUUUCCUGAAUUCGUGAUUUAAAUUUACACGAUGUAUCAAAUUCUUCUGUAUUAUAUCUAAGCUUUUAAGUAAAAUUAAAAAUUUAUGUAAUUAUUUAAAAAGAAUUUUAAAUAAUUAUAAUAAAUUAAAUUAUGGUAUAAUGUAAUUUUUUCAAAAAGUAAUCUAAAUUUGGUAAUUAGUAUUCUUUGACCGAACAGAGGAAUACAAACUCACACUUACUUGAUAUUUUGACUUCCCAUAUUACACUUGUUUCGUGUAGAUACCUCAACUCCGUGAAAGUUUUUGUGAUAGAUAAGACUAUGGAUGUUCACUGUUUGGGUAAAAGCAGAUCUAAAUUAAAAAACGAACCAAAUCGAUUUUCGUUUGAUUUGGUCUUACAUUUUUAAAAAUCUAUAAUAUUCGUUUCAUUUUAGUUUUGUCUAAAAAGAAGCUGAAAAACAAUCGAUCGAAUAUAUAUAUAUAUAUAUAUAUUACUUUUAUAAUGUCACGAUCCGAACCGAGGUCCUGACCGCAAAGAGUUACCCGAACCAUGAAGGUCCGAGAGACCUCUUAACUUAUAAUUAUAAGCAUAACUCAUCUAUUAUUAUAAUGCAGAAGUAAACUGAAAACAUAGUAGUUCUAUUAUUUCAACUUAACAAUACGGGACAUAAGUUCAAAAGAAACUCAACACCAUCUAUAACAAGUCUACAAAGUCUCUACUAAACUGAAAGCAAUAAUCUAUCUAAAACCAAGACAAAGCCCCCGGUCGGACCAUGAACUAAAAUCAAAUGAAGUAAACACAUGGACAAAGGCCUUCCGAAAUAAGGGAGGCUCACCAACUCCAAAUAUUUGACAAUGAUCUACUAAUUAGCAGGAUCACGGGACUGGGCCUCAGAACCUGAAAUAUAAGGGGUCAAUACACAAAGAUAUUGGUAUGUGAAACAAUCUAAAAUAACAUAUUUUUAUACAAUAUAGGUGAAAGUAUUUCAUAAAAAAAAAAUAUUUAGCAUAAGGUAAACAAAAACACAUGGGCUUAACUUAAAAGCAUAAAAAUAUUUUCUUGAAAUUAUGACUCAACUCUUCAUUUUACUUCUGAGCUAGAUGGUACACCCUACAAACAUACUUAUCCAUGGGCUAUGUGGACUUCACCCUUAACUCGGAGGCCAAGCCCCCAAUCCGAAUUUGCCGCAAGGAUUGGGGUUGUCAUGCGUACUAUGCCAUAAGGUCGUCGCCAGCUUACAAUCCAUAAUAUACAGCAUCAUAAACCUCUAUCGACAAAACACGGUUUCGGGCUAAGAGUUAUCUGAACUCAAGCCUUUUUAAAAAAAACAACUAGCUCUCUUUAAGCCCAAUUUUAGUCCUUUAAGACCAUGAUUCAUUCUCUUAAAACGUUCAAUACUUAUUCUGUUAAGGGCAUAUCAUCACCGGAUAUCGUCAUACCCAGACUUGCAAGUCAGUCAUAUCGCACCAUAACGUAUUCGUACCCUUUUUAUUUAUGAUCAUGUUAUUGACCACCCAAAAACUUUAAACAUCACGUGAGAGAGUCUUGCUAUAGAUUUUCAUAUGAGUUUUGCCCAAAAACACUCUUUUCAAUAUUACAAUCAUAUGGUGGCCAUCUUAUGUUCGCAUUACUUAAAACCCAUGAAAUCUUUCAAUAGACACAAUGAACGUUUACAACAAGAAAAAUACCCCUCUUCACGUCAUAGACAAUACUAAUUGAUGAACUUUAGAAAGGAAUUCAUUCUCUAGUAUUCUUUCAAAAAUCAUGCAUUUGUACAACCCACAACACUUGAAAUCAAGAAACAUCAUGAUGAGAGAGGGAGUUUCGUUAUUCAUGCUCUCAAUUAAACUUUUCAAAACUGAAAACACAUAUAUAUACGUGAUAAUAAUUCAAUUCUUUGAAAGAAGUUCAAGACGACAUAUACUUUCAUCAAAACAAAUUCAAGAUACAUGCUAUUCAAAACGAUAUCAAAAACCCUUUUCGUAAACAUGAUUAUUAAUCUUUAAACUUGAUGAAUCGAUAAAACUUAUGCCCAUGGAGUUUAGGAUAGUCCCACAUACCUUAAGUUUCUUAACUUAGGAAUAAAACCCUAAUCUUGAUGCUUUCUUGAAGAUUCUUGAACUUAGGGAGCUUGAAUUUUAGAUUAUUUCGAAAAAAUGAGUUGAUUUUUUGUUCUUGGGGGAAAGAGAGGGUUUUCUUGAGAGUGAAUUAGAGAAGAAGGGCAAAUAUUGUCCUAAUAGAUGUCCUAAUUCAUGUUAUGGACGAUUUGGGUUCGGGGAAAAGACCCAAUUGCCCCUCAACCAUUUAAACCAGAACUGGAUGCAACAACGUCACCGUGAUGUGGUCUUAUCGCAGUAGUUUAUUUCCCUCACUGCAAUACGGUCUAUAUGACAAAAAAAUAACACCGCGUCGCGGGAUUAUUGCGAUAAUCCUCUGGUUUCGUGAUCCAAACAUGACCCAAACCCCAUCUAAAAUCUAAAACUUUUCCGAGAUAUGUUUCGAACAUGAAUUAACUCAAAACCAAUAUCUCCGGGUCGGGACGACCAAGUUAAAAAUCCUUCAAGUUUAGAAGCCUUAAAAAUGACUAAAUCCCUAACACUUCGUGAAAGUUUCAGGCCUUAAGCCCCUUAUUCAUAAAACUAAUAGCUGAAUAAAUUCAAAAAUAAUAUGAGGUGUUACAUUAUCUCCCCUUUGGGGUCAUUCGUCCCCGAAUGAAGUUCCUAAGCACACUAAGCACAAUUUUUAAGCAGUACAAGAAUUAAAAUGAGUAGGAUAAGAAUGAUACCUUCCAUAUCAUCAUCUGCGGAUUCAAAGAGAGUUGGAUAUCUUGCACGCAUGUUAUUCUCUGACUCCCAAGUAGUUUCCUCAAUAUUAUGAUUCUUCAACAACACUUUCACCGAAGCUAUUUCUUUACUCCUCAACUUAUGAACUUGGUGAUCUAGUAUAGCUAUGGGUUCUUCCUUGGAUAAGAAAUCCUUCACCCCGAUUUCUUCAACAUUCAACACAAGCGAAUGAUCUCCAAUACAUUUUUUUAGCAUUGAUACGUGAAAUACAGGAUGAACAGAAGUUAGACUGGCAAGAAAAUCUAACUCAUAAGCAACUCCACCAAUCCUCCUGGUAAUCUGAUAUGGGCCUAUAUAACGGGGACUAAGCUUUCCUUUCUUUCUGAAUCUCAUGACUUCCUUAAUAGGGUAGACCUUUGGAAACACCCAAUCAUCAACCUCAAACGCUAACUCCCUUCUUCUAAUAUUGACAUAGGACUUCUGACAACUCUGAGCUGUCUUAAGUCGUUCUCUAAUAACUUUUACCUUCUCUAUCGUCUGAUGAAUAAGGUCAGGCCCAAACAAACGAGUUUCACCCACUUAAUACCACCUAAUCGGUGAUCUACACCUUUUUCCAUAUAGAGCCUCAAAAUGAGCCAUUUAGAUGCUGGAGUGGCAACUAUUGUUAUAGGUAAACUCUAUCAAUGACAGAUGAUCCACCCAACUACCUUUAAAUUCAAUCACUCAAUCCCUCAAUAUAUCUUCUAAGGUCUGAAUAGUGCGCUCUGCUUUCCCAUUCGUUUGAGGGUGAAAAGUAGUGCUAAGAUUUACUUGGGUACCUAAAACCCUCUGGAAAGAUCGCCAAAAUUGAGAAGAGAAUUGUGUCCCUCGAUUGAAUAUAACAGAUACUAGAGCCCCAUGCAAAUGAAUUAUUUCCUAAAUAUACAGCUUAGCAUAAUUAUCUCCCGAAUAAUUAUACACACUAAAAGAAAAUAGGCAGACUUGGUCAUCCCGUCUACAAUCACCUAAAUAGAGUCGUAGUGGUUUCGGGAUCUCAGAAGUCCUGUAAUAAGGUCCAUGUUGAUCAUCUCCCAUUUACACAAAGGUAAAUCUAUCUCUUGGGAAGUGCCACCUGAUCUUAAAUGCUCUACCUAAAGCUAUCUCUUGGGAAGUGCCACCUGGUCCCAAAUGUUCUACCUUGACUUGUUAACAAUUCAGACACUUAGCCACAAAGUUUGCAACAUCCUUUUUCAUAUUAUUCCACUAGUAAAUAUCCUUGAGAUCAUGAUACAUUUUAUUAGAGCCAGGGUGAACAACAUACUUGGAAGUAUGAGCCUCUUCAGGGAUCCUUUCUCGGAACCCAUCAACAUCUGUCACACAUAACCUACCUUUAUAUCUCAAGACAACAUCACCCCCAAUUGCAAUAGCCAUGACCUUUUGUUGACCAACAUCAUCCUUAAUCUAUAUCAAAAUGGGAUCUCUGGACUGUUUUUCCUUAACUUCUAAACAAAGGGAAGAUUUUUCUACCUCAUGUACGAAUACCCUUCCAUCCUUGAAAUCUAGGAGUCUGACUCCCAAAUUAGAAAGCCAGUGAAUAUCCUCACCAUAUUCCUCUCUCCUUCCUCCAAGUGAGUAAGACUGCCCAUGGACAACCUACUAAGGGCGUCAGCCACCGUAUUGACCUUACCCGAAUGAUAGUGUAGGCUCAUCUCAUAAUUCUUCAACAAAUCCAACCACUAUCUCUACCUAAGAUUCAGUUCUUUCUACUUGAAGGCAUACUGCAAACUUUUAUGAUCAGUAAAAAUAUCAAUAUGCAUCCUCUAAAGAUAAUGACGCUAAAUUUUUAGUGCAAACACCACACCCGCUAACUCUAAAUCAUGGAUGGGAUGGUUCUUCUCAUUCACCUUUAACUGUCUAGAUGUGUAGGCCACCACCUUACUACGCUGCAUAAGUACACACCCAAGUCUAACCCAGGAUGCAUCACAGUACACAACAAAACCCUCUAUACCCUAAGGAAGGGUCAAGACUGAUGCAGUAGUAAAUUUGUCUUUCAGUUUCUCAAAACUAUUGUAAGACCCCGCAAAAUCUCUAGCUUAAUUUAGACCUUUAAAGUUUGUCAAGGGGUUUCAGACUUAGAAUAUUUAGCUAAGUAUUCAGACUUAGUUAUACUUUUAGCCUACAAAAAUUGGCAAUCAUGUUUCAUGUCCUUUAUGUCCAUCAAAUAUUGAUAAUUGAGUCAAUUCAUGAUCAGGAAGGUCCAUAGGUGAUCUCAGACCAGUUUCGGCUUUUUCGGACCUCGUUUGAAACAAGUUUGAGUGCCCAAGAUAGUGGGUCGAUGCGAUCUCAAUGCGUCGCGUCGACCAUCACAUCGAUAAGAUAUUUGUUCCUUGGCUCCAGUGCAAUUCCAGUGAAUCAGCGUGAUAUUGAAGUGAUGCGUUAUAUAUCACGUCGAUUCCAUCGACGCACUGCAUCGACAUAUGCGUCGAUGACAUAGGUUUUAGUCAUUAAAAAGUCGCGACUCCAGGGUUAUUUCAGUCUUUUUUCCUCAAUUUUUAGCCCUCAUAACAUAAAAUUUAGCCCCUUUAGAGGCAUAAUACAAUCAUUAUUCACAAAAUCCUCAAGAAUAAAACCCUUGGGCUAUCAAUACAAGAAUCAAUUUCAAGAGAUUUCACCAUCAAUAUUUCCAAAUUUAAGAAAUAAGGUAUGUUUGGUGUUUAUUCAAGGGUCUCUUCCACACUUGGAGUCCAAGAAAACCCUUUUUAAAUCAUGAAUUAUGAUUUUUACGAUGUGGACUGGAUUGUAUCCAUGUUGAUGUUGAUGUAUGGUUUCCAAGUUGAAAUCCUUGACGUAUUUCAUGACAUUAUAAUAGCAUAUAUAUUGAAAUUUAAUUCUCUUAAGUUGAACUCUUGAAUUAUGAAUUUAUAUGAUAGUCAUGAUGUAAUAGCAUUGGUAAUCAUGCCCAAGAAUAAAGUUAUGCCUACCAUGUGUUGGACAAAAUGUUUAAGUGUGUGGAUGGUGCUUUUAUGAUCUUUUGGUGAUCUAAAUGAUGAACUUAUGCUAAAUCUAUAUAUUUUCCAUGACUCUCAUGCUAAGGCUAUGCCUUGUAAGUGUUUGAUAGAAUGCUCAUGAGAUUGGAUUUGUGAAACUAUGAUAUGUUAGUAUGCAUACCUAUUCAUGUACAAGUUCAUGACUUUCAAGUGCUUUAUGAAAUCCCUCAAUGAUUGUAUUGUGAGCUGUUGACUAUUGUCAUGUAUUCAAGAAAUGUCAUGUCCUAUUAAUAUUUAUGCUAUCGAAUCUUAGGGGUAUUUAAUUCCCGAUAAUUUAACUGUGUGCCUUGAGCCAAUGUCAGUUAUAGAGUAAUCUCAGUCAUGUCUUGAUCAGUAAUAUUCUCAGUCAGUUUCAAAACUCAGUAGAACUCAAUCAAUCACAGAACUCAGGAAAACUCAGUAAUCUUAGGGAACUCACUUAGUUCAGUGUCUAUUCAGAUGGGAGUAGGAUUCAGCAUCGAGUGAGCCCAAGGAUGGGAACUCACCUGUCAGUAAAGGGUGUGAUUCUUAGAAGCAAUCCUUGCGUUCUAGAACUAUGUAGAUAGCGUAGGGUGAGACAUCAAACCUGCCAGUUGAGGGUUGAUGAGGUGGCUUAACCUGUCAUAUUUGGGUCCCACCGCUCUCAUUAGAGUACCUACCAGAUGAGGGUAACUCUUCAGUUUCCUUACCCGUGGCACGAUAUUGACACCCUUUCAACUGGGGUUAUAGGUUGGACCCCAAAUCUAUCCAGAAAAGGAGCAUGUCGGUUAGAUGAUUACUUCCCACGGUAUCAAUCUCCAUCUUCAGUAAAUAACUCAGAUAGUUCUACAGAUUUCAUAGACUGUCAGAUACAGUCACUCAGCUCAGUACAGAACUCAGCUAGUUCCAUCAGAAUCAGGACUGUUAGAAACAGUCACUCAGUAAAAGUAUAUCAGUUAUCAGUACAUCAGUUAGCAGUAAUCCAUGUUAUCAGUAAACUCAGUAUUCAGAAUCCUUAUGACUUUAGUUACAGUUAUGUAUUCAUGCAUGUAUUCUCACGCAGUCAUGUUAAUGUUAUUCAGUCAGUUAUAGUUCAUGCAUAUGAACCCUUACAUUCAGUCUUACCUCACUUUGCAUACCAGUACAUUCACACGUACUGACACAUACUUUUCUCAUGCGCUAUGGUAUCUUAUACCAUAGGUUUAGAAGCACGGGCUCUAGAGCACCCUUAAUAGUUCAGAUUCAGCCAGUAGUAGUAUAUUAGCAGUGAGUCCUCAUCAUUCAAGGAUAUACGUUUAUCCCAUUAUCUUAUUACAUUUAGUAUUUCAGUGGACGGAGUUAGUUGGGGGAUUGUCCCAUCAACUAUAGAGUUCAAACAGCUCAGUUAGAGGAUUAUCAGACUAGAUGAUCAGACAGUUGUUCAGUUUUGGUAUUGAGAUACCUCAUUUCAGUUUUUUCCAGUUUAUCGAACCUUAUGUUUGCAUUUAUACAGUAUUAUUACUUAGUUACUGCAGCAGGUACCAGUCAUGGGUUAGCUUAUGGUCCUUCAGGAUUAUGAGCAUCGUGUAGCAUUCGGGGUACAGACUUGGGGCGUUACAACUAUUCUCACAAAAAUCAGACUACAAAAACUUCCCCUUUUCUGAGUCAAUCUAUUAAAUGGAGCAGCUAUAAAGGAAAAAAUCUCUAAAAAUCUUCUGUAAUAUCUUGUCAAACCCAAGAAGCUUUGGAUGUCAAUGGAGUCGUGGGUCUGGGUGUUUUUCUCACUGUCUUAACCAUUUGGGGGUCAACCUUAAUUCCCUCACUAGAUACAAUACGCCCCAAAAAAGUGAUAGCACUAAGCUAGAAUUUGCACUUGGAAAACUUUGCAUACAACUCAUGAUCUGUAAGAGUCUGAAGGAUGAUUUGGAGGUAAUUAGCGUGUUCCUCCUCACUCUCUGAGUAAAUCAAGAUGUUUUUGAUAAAGACUAUGAAGAAUAGAUCUAGAAAUUGAUGAAACACCUGUUCAUGAGGUCCAAAAAUGCUUCGAGGGCAUUAGUUAGUCCGAAGGACAUGACUAAGAAGUCAUAGUGACCAUACCGGGUUCCAAAAAUGGUGAAAUAUCAGCCUCCCUAACCUUCAAGUAAUGAUACCCCGAAUGAAGGUCUAUUUUGGAUAAACAUUUGGUACCUUGGAGUUGGUCAAAGAGAUCAUCGAUUCUGGGAAGAGGGUAUUUAUUUUUAACUGUAACUUUGUUCAAUUGACAGUAAUCUAUAAAUAUAUGGAGGGAGACGUCUUUCUUAUGCACGAAGAGUAUCGGAGCACCCCAGGACGAGACAUUAGGUCGAAUAAAGCCUUUGUCAAGAAGGUCUUUCGACUAGUCUUUCAACUCUUUCAAUUCUGCAGGAACCAUUCUGUAUGAUAGAAUAUAAAUAGGUAGGGUGUCCGGCAACAGGUCAAUGCAAAAAUUUAUCUCCCUAUCUGGUGGUUUCCCAGGAAAGACUUCUGGGAAUUCAUUAACUACAGUUAUAGAUUGGAGGAAAGGACUUUCAGUUUGAGAAUCUUUGACCCGAACAAGAUGAUACAAACAACUCUUUGAUAUGAGCUUACAUGUUCUAAGAUAAGAUAUGAAUUUCCCCCAAGUACUAGAGAAUGCCCCUCCCAUUCUAUCACUGGCUCAUUAGGAAAAGAGAAGGUGAUCUUUCUGGUUCUACAAUCUAUUGUAGUAUAAUAUGAAUGAAGCCAGUCCAUUCCUAGAAUAACAUCAAAAUCAAUCAUGUCCAUCUCUACAAAAUCAGCCAUAGUAUCACGAUGAAAAAUAGACACCACACACUUUCUAUAAACUCUCCUAGCAAUAAUAGAAUCACCAAUAGGAGUAGAAACAGAAAAGGGUUUUGGAAUAUUUUUUAGAUCAAAACCAAAACUAACUGCCACGUAAGGGGUUACAUAAGACAAGGUAGACCCGGGAUCAAGUAACACAUACACACCAUUGUAGAAAAUCUGUAACAUACCCAUAACAACAUCUAGCGAAGCCUCUACAUACUGGCGAUUAGAUAAAACAUAUAACUGGUUACAACCACCUCCAGUAGCAGAAACGGUGCCCUUCGAUGGAGGGCCUGUGGAAUUUGUUUAAGACUUGGUACCUCUAGUAUUCCCAAUGGCUGAUGGAAAGUAACUCUGAAUAUGGCCUGCUUGGCCACACUUGUAGCACAUGUUACUUCCUAAAUAGAAUUUUCCUAGAUGAUCUUUUCCACAAGAACUACAAUGAGGGUAUUGACCCACUGGGCUGAGCCACACUCCCUUCGAAUUGAGUACCCGGUAUCUUUGUGUCGCUAUUAGGCUGGAAGUUAUAAAAUAACAUAUCAACUGGAAGUCUGGGCACUGGGGCGCUAGCUGAAGACAGAGAAUUGCUCCAAAACUUCUUCCUAGACCAUUUCUUACCCCAAUACCACCUUUCUGUUACUGGUAUUUUGAUCUACAGACCUAGCCCUCUAAGUAUGCCUUUAUUUUCCCCUUACCUCUGCCUGUCUCUUUUUUUCCUCUUCUACCUAUUGUAUAUGCACUGAUAACUUGGAGAAAUCCAUAUCUCUGUUCAGUAUAGCUCCCUUAAAUUCUAACACCAAAUUAUCUGAGAGACUGAAUACGAACUUUCUUAUGUGAGCCCUUAUGUUUCCCACUAACUCUAGAGAAUAACGGGACAGAUGGUUAACUUUAAUGCAUACUCUUUGAUACUCAUCUUCCCUUAUUUCAGAUUCACGAAUUCUUUAGGGUUUGCUUCCCUCAAUUCCUGGCGAAAGAAAUGAUUUAGAAAAGCCACUACAAACUGACCCCACACAAAUAAUUCAACAUCUCUACCCCUCAAAUCUUCCCACUCAUUAUACAACUGUAGCUAUGUCCUUCAACUAAUAAGUGGCCAACUCAGCCCCUUCAAUCUUACUAGCAUACAUGACUCUAUAAAUUUUCUUCAUUUCAUCAAUAAACACUUAGGGGUCCUCCUCAACCUUUAUGCUAAUAAAGGUAGGUGGGUUCAGCCUCAUGAACUAGCUAACCCGAGUAGUUUCAGACAAACCUUGCAUAGAAUUCACAUUUUUAGACCAAGGGGACUGAGAAGCCACAAGUUAAGUAAUCAUAUGGAUGGACUACCGAAACUAAGCAUUCAAGACUUCUCUCUAAGGAAGAUGGGUACGGUCAACACCGGACCAAGGAGAUUGAGGUGAUAUAGUUUAGACUGGAGAAACUCCAAGAGUAGCAACAAAUUCUGGAGUAUGAGAUCUAUUACGUGCCCGCAUCCCAUGAGUAGGGCGAACAUCAUCAGCAUGGGUAUUCUGCUUGUUGGAUCUAUGGGGAGGCAUGAUCAAUCUCUAAAAUAUAGGAAAUCAUGAGUUAAGGAACAUUUAGACUAUAUAGCAUGAACUAGAAUAUGAAGAAAAGAGAGACAUUCCUAGAUGCCUAGUAGAUUCGUCUAUAUAAGUGUGGAACGCUACACACCCAUAAAAAGGACUCUAGCUGACGCGACUUCAUAGACACCCUAGAACGAUCAAUUGUACUUCGACGCUAAGUUUGUCGUGACCGGAACUGAGGACCUAGACGUGACGCGCUUCCCAAAUCAUGAAGGUCCGAGAGACCUCUUAACUUAUAAUCAUAACAUACCUAAUCUAUUAUCAUAAUGUAGAAUUAAACUGGAAUCAUAGUAUUUCUAUUAUUUCAACUUAACAAUCUGGGACAUAAGUUCAAAAGAAACCCAACACCAUCUAUAACAAGUCUACGAAGUUUCUACUAAACUGAAAGUAAUAAUCUGUCUGAAAUUAGGACAACGUCCUCGGUCGGACCAUGAACUAAAAUCAAAUGAAGCCAACACAUGGACAAAGGCCUUCCGAAAUAAGGGAGGCUCACCAACUCCAAAAGUCUGACAAUGAUCUACUGAUUAGCGUGACCACAGGAGUGGGCCUCAGAACCUGAAAUAUAAGGGGUCAAUACAUAAAGGCACCGGUAUAUGAAACAAUCCAAAAUAACAUAUUUUUAUACAAUAUAGGUGAGAGAAUUUUAUAAAAAAAAUAUUUAGCAUAAGGUAAACGAAAACACAUGGGAAUAACUUAAAAGCUUCAAAACAUUUUCUCAAAAUCAUGACUCAACUCUUUAUUUUACUUUUGAGUUAGAUGAUACACCCUACAAACGUACUUAUCCACAGGCUAUAUGGACUCUGCCCUUAACUCGGCGGCCAAGCCUGCAAUUCGAGUUUGCCACAAGGAUUGGGGUCUGUCAUGCAUACUAUGCCAUAAGGCUGUUACAAGCGUACAAUCCAUAAUAUAGGAUAUCAUAAACCCAUAUCAGCAAAAUAUGGUUUCGGGCUAAGAGUUAUCUGAACUCAAGCCUUCUUUGAGAAACCAACUAGCUCUCUUUAAGCUCAAUAUUAGUACUAUAAGAGCAUGAUUCAUGCUUUUAAAACAUUCAAUACUUUUUCUGUUAUGGGCAUAUCAUCACCGAGUAUCAUUAUACCCAGACUCGUAAGUUAGUCAUAUCGCACCAUAAUGUAUCCGUACCCCUUUUUAUUUAUCAUCACGUUAUUGACCACCCAAAAAUUUUAAACAUCAUGUGAGAAAGUCUUGCAAUAGAUUUUUAUAUAAGUUUACCCAAAAGCACUCUCUUCUCAAUAUUACAAUCAUAUGGUGUCCAUCUCAUGUUUGCAUUACUUAAAACCCAUGAAAUCUUUCAAUAGACACAAUGAAUAUUUACAAUAAGAAAAACUCCCCCUCAUCACGUCAUAGACAUUAUUAAUUCAUGAACUUUAGUAAGGAAUUUAUUCUCUAGUCUUCUUUCAAAAAUCAUGCAAUUGUACAACCUACAACACUUGAAAUCAAGAGACAUCAUGAUAUUUGAGGGAGUUUCAUUAUUCAUGCUCUCAAUCAAACUUUUCAAAACUGAAAACACAUACACACACACACAUAUAUAUAUAUAUGUGUGUGUGUGUGUGUGUGAGAUAAAAUUUAAUUCUAUUGAAGGAGUUCAAGACAACAUAUACUUUCAUCCAAACAAAUCCAUGAUACAUGCUAUUAAAAUGAUAUAAAAACACUUUUCGUAAACAUGAUUAUAAAUCUUUAAUCUUGAUAAAUCGAUAAAACUUAUGCCCAUGGAGUUUAGGAUAGUCCCACAUACCUUAAGUUUCUUAUCUUGGGAAUGAAACCCUAAUCUUGAUGCUUUCUUGAAGGUUCUUGAACUUGGGGAGCUUGAAUUCUAGAUUACUUGGGCAAAAAGAAGUUGAAUUUUUGUUCUUGGGGGAAGAGGUGGGUUUUCUUGACAUUGAAUUGGAGAACAAGGGCAAAUAAUUCCCUAAUAGAUGUCCCAAUUUAUGCUAUGGAUGAUUUGGGUUGAGGUGGAAAAGACCCAAUUGCCCCCCUCAACCAUUUAAAUCAGAACUGGACGUAACACGCAAUCUUAUCGUGGUAGUUCAUUUCCCUCACCGUGACGCGGUCUGUAUGACGACAGAAAUAACACCGUGUUGCGGGCUUAUCGCGAUAAUCUUCUAGUUUCGUGAUCCAAACAUGACCCAAAUCCCGUCCGAAAAAUCCAAAACUUUUUCGAGACAUAGUCCUUACAUCCCUGAACAUGAAUUAACUCAAAAACCAACAUCUCGGGGUCGAGAAUACCAAGUUAAAAAUUCUUCAAUUUUAAAAGCCUUAAAAAUGACUAAGUCCCCAACACUUAGUGAAAUUUUCAGGCCUUAAGCCCCUUAUGCAUGCAACUAAGAGUUGAAUAGAGCCAAGAAUAAUACGGAGUCUUGCUAUUAAUCUGCAGAGUUACAAAGUCUUGCUAUACAUGCUUUACAAAACCUGCAGAGUUACAAAGAUAAAAACAACUUUCAAAUUAAAAAUUAACAACAAAACAAGAAUCAAGCUGAAAAAUAAAAUUUAUUGGACAAAAAAAAUUGACUCAAUGGCUACACAAAACAUUAAAAAUCCAAACCUAAAUGACCUAAUGACUGGACAAUAAUGAGAUCAGUAAGUAGAGAAACCGCCCAAAAUGCAUUUUCAUCUAGGUGAUGUAGAUAAAAAAUAUAGAGUUUAUAAAUUAAUCUAUGCAUUAUAGAAUGUGAUUCAUAGAAGAGAAAAGUGAUUUUCAGUUCAAAAAAAAUUGUUGGGUAACAAAUACUUCAAAUGGAUGCAAUAAGAUUAAGAAAAAAUGAGAGAGAAUUACUUAAAGAGCAGAGAGAUGAAGGGAAAAAUCAAAAAUCCUAAAGGUAGAAUGCAAUUUCACCAAAGGGAAGAGAGAAAUCCGAAGCUCAAGCUUUGAAAUGAAAUUUUUUGUAACUUUAUGAAAUUUGUCGUAAAUUAAGCUUAUUGCAAAGGGUAAAUAUAUUUUUAACUUUAUUUUUUUGGUAUAAAUGUACUAUAUUAAUCCGACGCUUUCGAGCUUUGAGAUGAAAUUUGUUGUAGCUUUGAGGUGAAAUUUUUCCUAGCUUUAGCUUUGUGCAGAGGGUAAAUGUAUUUUUAACUAUUUUUUGGUACAAAAAUAUAUUUUUAACUUAAACUUGGUGCAAAUAAAUUAUGUCAUUUAAAAAAUAACUAAUUUUUAAUAAAAUAAUAUAUCUUAAAUUGUGUCUCAUGGACAAACGUUAUUACUAGUAAUUUGUAUUAAAUUAGCUAAUAUUCUCUAAGAGGCAAAUUUAGACCCAACAAAAUAAGUUAUGUCACGCGGGUAAAGAGUAGACAUUAUUAGUUUGUAUCGACAUAAUUUUACAAUGUCUAACUUACAAUGUCUAGUUUUAUAAUGUCUAACACAGAGUCCACCCAGAUAAAAGUUAUGCUCCAUGGGCAAGAGUUGACUUUGUCUUAGUUUGUAAUGAUUUGGCAGAUGAUCUAUAACUCUUGCCCUCGAGGCAAGACUUUUAAAUCACAAAAGAACAAGUUGUGCCCCAAAGGCAAAAGUUGACUUUGCCUUAAUUCUGUAAUGAUUUGACAAAUGAUCUACAACUCUUGCCCUGGAGGCAAGACUUUUAAAUCACAAAAGAACAAGUUGUGCUCCAUGGGCAAAAGUUGACUUUGCCUUAGUCUGUAAUGAUUUGACAAAUGAUCUAUAACUCUUGCCCUAGAGGCAAGAUUAGAAACAAGUCCAUGAGCAAGAUUUGACACUACUUUAGUAUUUAAUGAUUUAGUAAAUAAUCGAUAACUCUUGCCAAAGAAGAAAGAAUUUUAGAUCACAAAAGAAAAAGUUGUCCCAUGGGCAAGAUUUGACACUAGCAUAGUUUAGAUUGAUUUGGCAGGUGAUAUAUAAAUCUUGCCCUAAAGGCAAGACAUUACCGGAGGACUCCAAAAGAACAAGUAAUUACUCAUGGACAAGAGUUUACACUUGACAUAAUCGACUGACUUUUAAAAAAUUAGUGCAUUUCACAAAGUUUAACUAAUUGAUUACUAUACAACUCUCGAUUUAGAUGCAUAAUGUGUAGUAAUUAUUGUCUUACAUACAAAACAUAACACAAGGCUUAUAAAAACUAACAAAUACUUAAUGGGCAAUGAUUUAUAUUAUUACACAAAAUCUAACUUAUUGAGUAUUAUAUAACUAUUGCCUUUGGGGGGAAAUGUAGCUCAAAUUUUUUUUAAAAUUAAUGUAUGCCUCAUGGACAACAAUUUACAUAAUUUUACAAUGUCUAACUUAUGAGAUACUCUAUGAAUCAUGUUGAGAAGACUUAAUCAAGGAGUUUUAAAGGAACAAGUUGACACCCAUAGACAUAACAUGUAGUAAUGGUUACCUUAUAGACAAAACAUAGGUCAAGGGCUUUAAAAAAAUUAAUGAAUAUUUCAAGGACAACAAUUAUACUAUUUCACUAAAUCUAACUAAUUGAAUUUUAUGUAGUUCUUUCCUUAGAGGCAAAAUGUAUCUUAGAAAUUUUUGUAAAAAUUAAUGUAUGUGAAACAAGUUACACCAUUUCACUAUGUCUAACUUAUGAGAUACUCUAACAUAAGUUGAUAACUCAAAAAAGAGAAUAUAUCAUGACCUUUAUAUAACUUGACAAAAAUAAACUCACAAGUAAAAAAGAUCAAAAUCAAAAAAUUGAUAUUAAAAUAAACUAAUAAGAAAAAUAAAACAAGAAAAAAUAAUGCAACAAUUUACAAAAGAAUAAGCAAAAGCCGUGGUAAAUUAGUUGAAAGUAAACACUUCAAUUAUAACUUGAGUGACUAUCUUUAAACAUAAUAAAGAAACAAAAGACAAACUUAAAUCCUCUUAAGAAUUUAUCACGUCUUCAGUAGUACAAAAUUUAUUUUUUAUAGAAAUAUGAUCAGGAACACCGGAUGGCAUUGAAGUUAUUAGAGUAAAACUAGAACCAUAAUCUUCAUCUGAUACUUCGCACCACUUUCUUUUCCUAGAAAGCAAGUCAUGGGGAGGUGUUGAAAGAUCAAUUUCGCCGCUUUGAAUCUUGGCACAAAUCUGAAAACUGGUUUCAAACUUGAGUUCAUCUUUAAGAAUAGGCACAUUUUAUUCCUGCAUUUCAUUCACCCCCUUGAAAUUUGCAAUGCCAACUUCUCAUCUGUCACAUGGUUUAUGUAAUCCCUGAAUAAGCUCCACAAUAGAAUCAAACUUGCAUUCUAGAGACUAUAAAAAAAAAUUAAUAAUGUCAACAACAUAAUCAACACAAUUACAGAUAGAAUGAUGUUGUUUCUAUUGAGUAAUAAAUUUAAUGUAAAAUUUACCGUAAUACGGCUCAUAGUCCCAUCUAAAGAAGUAUCAAGAUGAGUCUUACUAGAAGAUGUCACUCUCUGCAUAAAAUUUGCAAAAGAAAAAGAAAGAUUACUAAAGCAAGUUAGAAACUCAACAUUGAAUUAUGAUUUGAACAGUAAAAUAAUAAAGAUAUAUUCAAUAUUAAAGAAAAAGAGAGUGACACAAAGUACACCUAGAUAAAAGUUAUGCCCCAUGGGCAAGAUUUGACCCAAACAUAGUCUUUAUUGACUUAGUAAAUGAUCUAUAACUCGUACCCAAGAGGCAAGACUUUUAGAUCACAAAGAAACAAGUUGUGCCCCAUGGGCAAGAUUUGACACUACUGAUUUGGCAGAUGAUCUAUAACUCUUGCCCUAGAGGCAAGACUAGAACAAGUCUAUGAGCCAUUAUUAAGUACCCAACUUUCCUGCCUACUUCAGCAAGCGUUGCAGAACUAGUUGAGCCGUUGAGGGUAAGCAGGAGAAGAUGUGCACAAAGCCAGCUCUCUUCUAAAAGCUAAACAAUAAUCACAAAGUGGCAAAUCAACAACCUACUAAUAAGUGUUUAUUAUAUGUAUGUAAAUUAAGUAAUAACUGCAACCAAUCCAACUAGUUAACACAUUGAUAAUAUAAAGAACAUGAAGUUGGAGGCUUAUAAGCACAAUGGCGGAGAAAAGGAUCAAAAAUGACAAAUAUGUACAUUAAAUACAAAUAGUUUGCCCAAUUAAAUGAUCUUCUCACUCAUUUUUAAAAUGAAGACCUUAACUCAAUAAGAUUUCAAUGAUUCCACUUUUUAUUUCUCAUUACAGGUCCUGCAAAGUUGUAGAUAAGUACAAGUAACAAUUCACGGUGUUCGUUUCCCUAAUCACUUUUCUUCACACAUAAAUGAAUAAAAUCAACUUAUUCUACUAAAAGAAGGUCCUAACUUCUUUAUUCACUUUUCUAUUUCUGCACGCUUACGCAAUGUAAAUGAAGCCUUAACAUGGUGUCAUUCAUAGAAGUAAUUCAACAUAGUUCAACUAAUCAACAGUUGGACAUAAAUUAAACCAAAAUAGAAAAACAUGUUUAAUACACUCAAUAGAACCAUAAAAUUUCCUUGUGAAAAGAUUUUAACGAUAAUAGGGAGAACAACAAAAUAUUUUGUUUUUAACCUUCUAAAGCUAUACGUUCUCCAGAUUCAAGUCUGUAAAUCAAACUAAGCACACUCCUUCAAGAGUCAUUGCAUUACAUGGAUUAUCAACUUGCGGUAUUUUUGGGUUAUUCAAACACAAAUAUCAAAAGAAUAAUAAUUACAAGAUCAAGCAUUUCCUUGCUGCACCCAAGAGUAAGGGUAUGGGACUGUGGUCAAGUGGUCAAUGAAGUGUUUGAGAACUACGAGGUCUCAUGUUCAAAAUUCAGCGAAGACAAAAAUAUCUAUUCUAGCCUUAGUGAAUAGAGUUUUCCGGUACUUGUUGUUGACAGGUACCCUACAGAUAUGAAAUAUUGGUCAAGGUGUGUGCAAUUUCAACCCAUCACCAGGUUCCAUAAACUUCACCAAGCGUUGGAGACAAAGUUAAGCCGUUGAGGGUAAGCUGGAGAAGCUAUGCACAAAGUCAGCUCUCUCCUAAAAGCUAAGCAAUAAUCACAAAGUGGCAAAUCGAUAGCCUACUAUUAAGUGCUUAUUAUAUGUAAAUUAAGUAAUAACUAAAAUCAAUCCAACUAGUUAGCUAAUUGACAAUGUAAAGAACAUGAAGCUGGAGGCUUAUAAGCACAUUGGCCGGAGAAAACAACCAAAAAGCACAAAUAGCCAAGAAAGAAUCAUAUAAAGAUAAUUUCUGAACAAAAUAAAUAAAGUAACACACUAACACCCUUGCUAGCACAGUAUCUGAGGCACACAUAAAAACAUGCACAAAACAGGCAAAUAAGUUGUCACUGGCCUAACGUAGACACGUUGAAGCUUAUCAAAAAAAUAGUCCUAAUCGCACCUCAUUGUAAGCUAAUUCUUCAGUCAUUUAAGUUUAAAAAAUUAGAACAGAGUGAUUUCAUUAAAGUGUUAAACAAACUUAAUAGAAAAAUUCAAUUAUUGGCAUAUUUGACUUCAACAUUCAUCACUUGUACAUAAUAUUACUAAGUAGAUGAUCUAUAAAUCUUGACAUAGACGCAAAGACCGAGCCCCCAUAGAAACAAGUAAUACCUCAUGGGCAAAAAUUGAUCCCACCACAUUGUCUAUUAAUUAAACAGAUGCUCAAUAACUCUUGCCCUAGAGGCAAGACCUAUCCCACAAAGAAACAACUAGUCUCUAUGGAUAAGAGUUGAGACUACUUUGUUCCGUAAUGAUUUGAUAGAUCCUCUAUAAUUCUUGUCCUAGAGGCAAAAAUUAGCUCACAUUGAUAAAAUAUAUAAAAAGUGAAGUUACAAUUUUUUUAGUAUACUAACAGACAUUAAUGUAAAAUACAUGUAAAUGAUAAAGUGAAUUUAGUAGAAACGUACAUCAACAAUGAUGUCAAUUAAGUUUGAGGGAAAAAGUCCUGAAGAAUUGGAAGCAACAUCCGCUGAGAGACGCUCUAUUUCUUCAUCAGAAGCAACAUCCAUUUUUUUCUGUUUAUCGAGUUUGAAGAUUUGAGAGAAGUCCGAUGAAGAGAAAGAGGAGCAACAGAAAGAUUAUUUGAGAAAAUGAAGAAAAAAUAUGAACAACGAGAAAGAGUAUUUGAGAAAAAUCUGGGAAAAAAAAGAGAAAUAAUAAAAAAUCAAAAUAAAGGUUAAAGACAAAUAAAUUUUUAGAAAAUGAAGAAAUAGAUAAUGGUUGAGAAAAAAGAAAAAAGAGGAAAAAAUAAAGGUUGCGACAAAUAAUUUAAAACAUGAAAAUAAAAUUAAAAAAAAAAGUGAAAAUAAUAAAAAAUAGAAUAAUAAAUUUACAGAAAAAAUAAAAAAGUGAAAAAAAGUAGAAUGAUAAAAGUAAAGAAAAAAAUAAAAAAUAAAAAUAAUAAAAAAUAAAAUUGGUUGUUUGGGGCGGAAUUAAAAUUGAUAAAAGUGGAUACGUAUUUAUUUUUAAUUCAUUAUUAGCGGUUUAAUUUGGAAUAAGCAUGAAUUUUGUUAAAACAGAUAGGCAAAUGUAGGUUUGGGUAGGCAAAUUUAGAACUUGUGUCUGGUUGAAUGUUUGAAUGUGCGUGGGCCGUACUUGAUUCUAAUAUAUUCAUUUGGCCGGAGAAUGCCCCGAGAGAUUUGUAUUGAUUUAUUCGGGGAAUGCCCAAGUAUCAUGUACGCAAAGGAGGCUCGUGAUUAAGGCCCGAGGCAUCGGGUACGACAUUGGAACGCAGUUUUAGGAUUAGCUUAAAAUAGGAUUUAUAUUUUACGCAUGUUUCUAUUUUGGACUGUAUAAUUGGAAUGGACAUUAAAUUUUGAUUUGUUUCGUUGUGUUUGCUUGAUUGAUUGUUUUGCAUGCUUUGUGUGGUUUAUACAUUUAUAAUAUCAAAUUAGCCGAUAUGCUCUACCAAGCGACCGUGGUCGAACCACGGGAUCGAGGGGUGCCUAACACUUUCCCCUCGAUCAACAGAAUUCCUUAUCCGGAAUCUUUGUUCGCAAACCAGUUUAAAGAGGCAAAUUAUUUUGAAAAAGGAUUUCCAAAGGUGACUUGGCACACCCGAUUUAUGCCAAGUGGUGACACUGAGUUUUGAAUAUGAGAAGUCUUUUUCAGAAUAAAUUUUUCAAUCUUUUGUAACUUUAAUAAUAAAAUCCUUUCAAACAUUAAAAUCAAUUUUCUUGGGUAAAAAAAAGGGUGUGACAACUCUGGCGACUCUUCUUGGAAAUUUUCAGAAUUCAAGCUUAUUUUUGAAGUUAUAUCGGCUUAGUUUUACAUUAUGGGUGUAUAAACGUGCUUGUGUGAUUGUUUGUAUUGUUUUAUCAUUGUGAUGUGCUUACGUGCUCUUUGUUUACAGUUUUUCUUAUGUGUUACUACUUUAUAUCUGGCAUCAUGUGCAUAACCCGAGUCAAUUGUUUCUGCAACAAGUUCUGUAGUACACGCUGUGUACACGACCUAUAGUUGAGUCACCCUUAUUUUAGGAGGGGGAGCCGUCGGCUGGUAUGGAGUAGAUGGACAGCCAAAGCAGCCACUAUCGACCAUACACUCCCCUGAACAGCCUUGUUAGUGAACCCCAGCGUAGGUCAGCCUUUAGGUCAUACUUAUGUGCAUCAUAUUGAGACCUAGCGGGGCCCAUUUGGUCCUUUGUAGGAGACUCACCUCUACAGCAUUCCUAUGUGCUAAAUGUUGCAUCUUUGAGGGUAAUGUGAUCAUUUGACGGUCUGAUUCGGGGAAAGUAUGUGUUAGAAGUAAAGUGUGUAGGCAAUGAAAAAUCGAAAAAAAAAAAAAAAAGAGAAAACGAAAAGGUGAAUAAAAAAAAGGGUUUCGUAGUUUUUUUUAGAGUUUUUUAUGACUUUUGUUCUUCACAAUCCAAAAAUUCAAAAAAAAAAGUUUUUUUCUUUUACCUUUUGCAUUUAUUUUCUCAAAAAAAUAAAAAUUCAAAAAGUUUUUUUUUCACCAUUUGCACCAUCUUCUCAAAACACAAAAAAAAACAUCAAAAAGAUUUUCCUUUUGUUUCUUUUGUAAUCAUUCAUAAUUCGAAAAUUUUAAAAAAAGAUUUUUCAUUCAUAGGAGUUUUCAUAAAAGAAAAAUUAAAAAAAAAUGGUAGAAGUUUUUUACAUUUCAUAUAAUGAAAAUACCAAAAAGAUUUUUCUUUCAUAGUUGUUGGUGUCAGUCUUAUGUGGAGUGUCAAAGUGAAAACCAAAAAAAAAAAAUCAUUGUAAUCUCGUCUCCAAGUCAGGGUUCAGUCGGUUAUUUAAUCCUUAAUUGUCCUAUCUGGAUGAAUUACGCACCCCUGAUUCUCCUCUCUCGGGAGUGAGAUACGUAGGCAGCCUAUUAUUGGUUCAGGGAUCUUAUUUAAAAAAUUCAAAAAGAUCUUCUUCACUCUUCAUUUAGAGUAGGUGUCAUAUACAUCUCUCAAAGAAAAUCACAAAAAGGAUUUUUCUUUAAUAGUUUCAAGUUUUAUUUACGUAUGAAUGUAAAAUUGAAAAUUCAAAAAGAUUUUUCUUUGAUAAUCAUAGGUUUCAUUUUGUAUAGGAAUUUUAAAGCUGAAAAUUUUAAAAGAUUUUCGUCAAUUCUUUGACAAUUUGUUAUAUUUUAAGUUUCAACAAAAAGAAAAAGAAGAGUUUGAUCGGCCAUUUUGGCAAGACUUCACGAACUACGCACACCUGAUUCUCCCCUCUCGGGGGCGAGAUACAUAGGCGCCCUUCUCAGGUUCGGUGAUCUUUUCAAAAAAAAAGACAAGUUUUGAAAAAUUAUUGAACUCUAAUGCAUUUGCUAUCUCUUGUCCAGUUAGUUUAAGGUGGUUGGUUUGUGGCAUUUUGGUUGGUUCUCCUUAUUGAUCCAAGUCACAGAGAAAGUUAUGGUCAACAAAGAUAUCGAGUUUGUUUUCACUAAUCAGAUAGGGAGUUUGGGGAAUAAGAAUGUAAGAGCUAAUGAAGAGAUUCAGAAAUUAAGGCAGCAAAUGAGAGAAAUGCAUCGAGCUUGGGCUAAUUGGAUGUCUCCUCCUCCAUUUCCUGCUGAUAAAAAAGCUGAUAAUCUGGAAUAUCUUUCUAGUUUGCCUCCAGUGUCACACGUACAAUUUCCUAUUUUGGUCGACACGCCACAACAUGCAUCAGGACCUACUCUGGGGCAAUAGUACCCAAACACUUCCAAUAUUCAUUUCCUCACUCCUCAAUACAAAAUUACCACAUGCUCGACUCCAUCUGCUGUUCAUACUUUUGCAGUCCCACUCCCGUCUGAAGCUCCUGCUUUUAAUGUCAAUCCAACGAUUGUGAUUCCUCACUCUACAAGCGACCCUGUAUCCAGUAUUUUUAGUGAUCGGCAUUAUGCUCCCGAGCCCACAUUUAAGUCGGCUGGUCCUUAUGAUUGCCCUCAACCGCCUGAAUUUCCUCCUAGCACUGAGAAGCCUGUUAUGACAGAAGAACAAGAGGAAAUAGCCAGAAAAUUGAGAGGUUUGGAAUUGACUAUGAAGGACUUGGGGGGUACAAAAGUGUCUCAUAUAAAGAUCUGUGCAUGUUUUCAGGUGUACAUCUUCCUUUUGGUUUUAAAAUGCCAAAGUUUAAGAAGUAUGAUGGACAUGCCGAUACUGUAGCACAUUUGAGACGCUAUUACAACCAGCUACGGAGCGCUGGAGGGAAGGAAGAAUUACUCAUGGCAUAUUUCGGUGAGAGUCUUUCAGGUCUAGCUUCAGAAUGGUUUGUUGACCAAGACAUCGACAAGUGGAAUAGCUGGGAUGACCUAGCUAAUGAAUUCGUGCAAUAAUUUCAAUACAAUAUGGAGUUGAUUCCUGACGAGAAAUCCCUAACUAAUAUAAAGAAAAAGAGUACUGAAACUUUCAGAGACUAUGCGAUUAGAUGGUGUGAACAAGCUGCUAGGGUGAAACCGCCAAUGAAAAUAAGUAAGAUAGUAGAGGCAUUUAUUCAAGCACAGGAUGAAACAUAUUAUCAACACUUGUUACCUGCAUUAGGCAAGCCAUUUAUUGAGGUCCUCAAAAUGGGGGAAAUGAUAGAGGAUGGAAUUAAGACUGGUCGCAUUGUGAGUUUUGCAACAUUGAAAGCGACUACUCAAGCAAUUCAAAAAGAUUCGGGAAGUGUGGGAGGAAAGAAGGAGGAAGAUACAUCUGCCAUUGUAGUUGGACAACAGGCACGGGAAAGAGGACCACACCAUCAUUACCCACAAGUUCAAACCCAAGUUUAUACCCAAGCUCCACAGAAUCUUUCCCGAAAUCCAUUAUACUCCACUGCCCCACCUCCAUAUCCAAUAUACAAUGCACAAGCCAAUGGUCAAUUACUUUCUUACCCACAAUGGCAUGUACCAACUCUUCAGAAUCUUCCUCAAACUCCACAAACAUACCAAAGCCCUUCUAGGCCAGAUUUUUGGUCCAAGCCAAACAAUGAAAUGAGGCAGAAGUCGAGGGAUAGCUUCACACCAAUUGGAGAGUCGUAUGCAAGUUUAUUCCAGAGAUUGGUAGAACAGGGCAUGAUCACUCCUCUCCUUCGGUAUACUUCUGACCCACAUUCAAGAAGUUUUGAUCCUAAUGUAUGAUGUGCAUAUUAUUCUGAUGUUCAGGGUCACAGUAUUGAAGAUUGUCGUGCUUUCAAAAAGAGAAAUUGAAAAGAUGAUUCAAGAUAAAUCAAUCAUGGUGCAGAACAUUGAUAGUAAGGAAAGCUCUAGUCAUGCUGAUAUACAAACCAGUGGCUAAGAUGUCACGCUGAGCAAUUGAGAAGUCACCCCUCUCCUUACUAGGAAGGGGUUUGGUAGCUUGUUUUAUUUUAUUUUUUAUUGUCCGAAUUAUUUCAGGGUUGUAGUUCGGGAUCUAUCUUGUUUUGUCCUUUUAUUGUUUAUGUUCAAACCCUUCUAUCUUUUGUUUCAACUAAAUAAAGUGUCCCAUUUUUCUUUGUGUUUUAAAUAUGUGUUGUUUGUUUGUUUUCUUUACAUAGUAUAUUUUAUGUUGACUCUAGUGAUAUGACAUGCUAGUGAAAUUUUCAGUUAGAUCUUAAAAUCCAGUUUAAGCAUGAAUAUUAAAUCAGAGGGUUAAAGUUAAAAAAAAAGAGCACAUGAGAAAAUAGAUAGAAUGCUAAGAUAUUUGGUGACAAGUUAAGACAAUUAUUUUGAGAAUCAUAAGAACAACUUGGUCAUCGAUCGAAAGGCAGAUCCCAAUUAGAUCAAAUAGUGGACAUGUGAUCCCUAUAUCAAGAGAUACAAGAAGAUAACCAGCUCCACGAAAGCAUGAGUCAUUCGAUGUGAGGAAUUUACAACAAAGGUGGAGUUUUCAGGAGAAGUAGUGACGCACCGACUCAAUCUGCUUCAAAAGAUAUUGCAAAUGAUCUUCAUCUCUCACUUUCAUAUUGCAUAAUAUGUACUUGCAUUUUCAAGGAUUAAUAUGACGAAGGCAUUUCACUCUGCUAUCCAAACAUCGUGUCAUACUUUGUUCACCCCAUUUGAGAUUUAGUCCUAUUUUAUUUCAUACCCUUCAAGGUGCCACUAGCCGAAUAAGGUCGUAAAUGCAAUUGACCUAAGGAAGUAACUCAGUUUCAAGUCCAUUAACUCAACAACAAUUGGUAGAAAGUUUGGAUGAAAAGAUCAAGCUGCUUAAUCCAAAAUGCAUGUCAUAACCAUUAGAGUUGACUGUCAUUUUUUUGAUGAAUUUGUUGUUUCUUUGUUUCAAACAGGGACAUUCAUUGUAUUUUCUUUCUUUUCUUUAUUUUUGUUUAUCUUUGUUGAGUCAGUUAUCCAAAUAAAAAUUGUCAUUCUAUUUUCUUUUCUUGUCUUUGAGUCAAGUCCGUGUCAAAACAAGUGAGAAAAUAUUUCAAAACUAGCUACCAGCUUCAUUAAUUACACAAAGCAAGACAAAAGCUAGCACACGAAAGAGACAUGAUUGUGAGCCAAAAAGAGUAUGUAGAAAGUUUUGCCAACAGAAAAGUCGGGGAACUCAUCAAAAUACCAAGGUUCAAAGGGUUUAUCUGAGGAGCAUGGCAAAGCAGAGAUACCGUGUUUGUUUCAGAGUCACUCUUAAUAAUCUGAGUGUAGAUCAAUGAUGCAGUAAGUCAAUGACUUAUGCUAAUAGUUGGAAGCAAGGUUAAAUGUUGGGGCAAGAGCAAUUGUUGCGAAAGCUAAAGCCACAAACUAGCCACCAUGUUUUUAAACUCACAAGUUUUCUUUGUAUGAAACAGAAAAACAUGUUGCAUUCAGAUCAAGGAUUUCAGAGCCUAAACAUCAAAGAUCGUUAUUUCUCCCUUCUACAAAUGCAAGAGGCAAUGUUGUUGCACAGGUUGGGUAAUCAAAACCAUGGUAAAAAUCAUAAUUCAAUAUCUCUAGGAGACACACUUCCUUGUCCGGAUGAUUCAGGUCCAUUUAUUAGGUGAUGCACUUCCAAAAUUGAACCUUCACUCCUAGAAGUCGCACUUUCUAGUUGAGUCCUUCCACUUAACCCGUAGGAGAUGCAUCUCCUUAUUUGAGUAAUUCAGAUUUCAUUUAUUAGGUGAUGCACUUCCUAAAUUUAACCUUCACUCCUAGAAGUCGCAUGUUCUAGUCGAGUCAUUCCAGUUGACCCUUAGGAGACACACUUCCUUUUUGGGUAAUUCAAGCGGCAUUUGUAAGGAGAUGCACUUCCUUUUUUGGGGCAAUUCAAGUAACAUUGGUAAGGAGACACACUUCCUUGUUCAGGUAAUUCCAGCAAUAUUUGUAAGAAGACGCACUUCCUUGUUUGGUUAAUUCAUGAAAUACUUGUAAGGAGACGCACUUCCUUGUUUGGUAAUUCAAGCGGUAUUUGUAAGGAGACGCACUUCCUUGUUUGGGUAAUUCAAGCAACAUUUUUAAGGAGAUGCACUUCCUUAUUUGGGUAAUUCAAGAAACAUUUUUAAGGAGAUGCACUUUCUUAUUUUGAUAAUUCAAGCAACAUUGGUAAGGAGAUGCACUUCCUUGAUUAGGUAAUUCAAAUUUUGCUUUUUAGGUGAUGCACUUCCUAGCUUAAAUUUUGAUUUCUAUAAGACGUACCUUGUAGUCGAGUCAUCUCCCUUGAUUCCUAUAAGACAUACCUUUAGUUGAGUCAUUCCCCUUUGAUUCCUAGAAGACGUACCUUUUAGUUGAGUCAUCUCCCUUGAUUCCUAUAAGACGUACCUUUUAGUCGAGUCAUCCCCCUUGAUUUCUAGAAGACGUACCUUUUAGUCGAGUCAUCUCCCUUGAUUUCUAUAAUGAUGUGACUUUCGCAAAAGUCCUUUGAUGAUAAACUGGGGCGAAAUUUAAUUCUUGUGUUGGAACUUUACUUUUCUGGCAAAUGAAACCUCUUUAUAACAAUCUUUGUUUGGAUAAUUUUCUUUUUAGUUUUGAUGUGAUUUCAGGAGCCUGCCCGAAGCACAGGGCGAAUAAAUGAAAAACCAAGCAACAAGGUAAAGAAAAUUAAAAGUUAAACAGAUUGAAAAAUAGCAAGUUAGGAGCGCCUGCCUUCAGAACAGGGUGAAGAAGAUAAAAGCAUAGCAACAAGUUGAUGAAAUAGCAAAUCAGGAGCUCAUCUGAAGAAUAGGGUGAUGAAACUCAAGUAUAACAGAAGUUGUAUAGAUAUGAUUUUUGUAAUUUCAUUUAUGCUUUAACUUGUAAUUUUUAUUUUGAUAUAAUGACAGAGCCGCGGAUCGGAACCUCGACGGGACCUCACUCGAAUCUCCAACUCGAUUGUUCUUCUUUCUUUUGUUUCUUCCUUUGAUAAUGGUCGGGACAAAAUUCUGUCUCGUUGUCUACUUCUUUGUCUGAAAACACUGCAUGUUUACAUUCAAAUGGGGCAUGAUAUAGACACAUAAUUUUAUCCUUAUGAAAGAUUAAUUUUUACCUUCUUACCUUAUCCUAUCAUAUACCCUCAACCAUGUAAUUAUCCCUCCAUAAAAUGACAAUAAAUAAUAACCCCUAACUAAUUUUAUUUUUUUCUAACAAUCUAUCCAAUCAAAAUAAGACACCUACCCACCCUUACCCCUCCUAACCACUACCUUACCUCACCCUCUAGGUAGUCACCACCCACUCACGUUUUUUAUUCCUUUUAACCAACACAUUAAGAACAAAAUAGGGAAGGCACGUGAUAUCUUGAUACCAUCACCCAAUACACAACAUCACAUAUACCAAGGGAGGGGCCCACUGGAAUUCCAUGAUUCUUUCUUUCUAAUUAAUAUAGACAAAGGAGUAAUAGACCAACAGGGAGAGAGAAAAAAAUCACAACAACCUGGGGGGACCACUUUCAUCAUCAUCAUCCAUAUAUCUUCUUCACGAACCAAAAAAAAAAAGAAAAAAGGAGGAGAGAAGAACGACACUCUCCAUUUUUUUCUUUGAUUGACCCUCACAAAUCAACAACACAAAAAUAGAUAGAUAAGAUAUGACAUGAGAAAGAGAGAGCUACAGAGAGUGAGAGAUAUAUAUGAGAGAGUGAUAGAGAUUUGCGAGAGAGGGAGAGAUUCGUGAUUGAAAUUGAAAGAGAACGAUGGCGAAGUAGUUUCCGGCGAGUGAGAGCUUGAGGAACACGAGUUUGGUCGUUUGAUUACUGUUCCGGUGACAGGCUCGUCGGAAUAGCGUCUAGCUGUCAUAAAUUCAUUUAAAACCCAUUGAAUAUAGCUCAACUGAUAUCUCUUUAUCGUUUUGGUCAUAGCCAAAGUUUACCAGGGUUACAGCGACACAAAAUCAUCAAACAAACCUCGAUCUGCUUUUGAUUCCAUCCAAACCCAUUGGAAUCGGGCCGGAUUUCUCUUAUUUCUCAUGAUUUUUAGUUCGAGGUUAUGUGGGUUCGUGAGAAUUUGGUCCAGGUCUCUUUGUUUCUGUGAUUCUCAGUUCUGAGUUGGAUGGGUUCGUUUGUUUAAUGUUCGAUUCGAGGUUUUUGGGCGCGGAUUCUCUUUAUUCGAAUAACAUUGAGUUUGAAAGCUACGAAUCGAGGUCCAAUUCUAUUAUUUCUCUUUUUAUUUCAUUAUUUACUAUAUUUUGGUGUGUUGGAUUGAAUAUUGUAUGUUUUGUUUGAUCCUUGUUGGUGAUGAACGCGUAUUUAUUUUGAUUCGCGGUUGGUUUUUUUGAUUAUGAUUUGCAUGGUGAAAUAGCAUCUCAUUUGAGAAUUAAAAUUGGUUGUUUGGGGCGGAAUUAAAAUUGAUAAAAGUGGAUAUGUAUUUGUUUUAAUUCAUUAUUAGCGGUUUAAUUUGGAAAAUGCAUGAAUUUUGUUGAAAUAAAUAGGCAAAUGUAGGUUUGGGUAGGCAAAUUUAGAACUUGUAUCUGGUUGAAUAUUUGAAUGUGCGUGGGCCGUACUUGAUUCUAAUGUAUUUAUUUGGCCAGGGAAUGCCCCGAGAGAUUUGUAUUGAUUUAUUCGGGGAAUGCCCCAAAGUAUCAUGUACGCAGAGGAGGCUCGUGAUCAAGGCCCGAGGCAUCGGGUAAGACAUUGGAACACAGUUUUAGGAUUAGCUUAAAAUAGGAUUUAUAUUUUACGCAUUUUUCUAUUUUGGACUGUAUAAUUGAACUGGACACUAAAUUUUGAUUUGUUUCGUUUUGUUUGCUUGAUUGAUUGUUUUGCAUGCUUUGUGUGGUUUAUAUAUUUAUAAUGUCAAAUUAGCCGAUAUGUUCUACCUAGUGAUCGUGGUCGAACCACGGGAUCGAGGGGUGCCUAGCACCUUCCACUCGGUCAACAGAAUUCCUUAGCCAGAAUCUCUGUUCGCAAACCAGUUUAAAGAGUCAAAUUAUUUUGAAAAGAAAUUUUUAAAGAUGACUUAGCACACCCGAUUUAUGCCAAGUGGCGACUCUGAGUUUUGAAUAUAAGAAGUCCUUUUCGGAACAAAUUUUUUAAUCUUUUGUAACUUUAAUAAUAAAACUCUUUCAAACGUUAAAAUCAAACUUCUUGGGUAAAAAAAAGGAGUGUGACAACAACAACAACAAUAAUAAUACCAACAACAACAACAAUAAUAACAAUAAUAACAACAACAACAAUAAUAAUGAUAAUAAUAACAACCGCAACAACAACAACAAUAAUAAUAAUAAUAAUAACAAAAACAAAAACAACAACAACAACAACAACAAUACCAAAAACAACAACAACAACAAUAAUAAUGAUACUAAUAACAACAACAAUAACAAUAAUAAUAAUAAUAACAACAACAACAAUAACAGCAACAACAAUAAUAAUAACAACAACAAUAAUAUCAAUAAUAAUAAUAAUAAUAAUAAAGAUACAAGGCCUCAUAUCAUAAAAUUAUUGGGGACAAUGAUGUGUGAAGUCAUGUGAAGUUAGUUUUUAUAAAACAUUUUGUGUGGCUUUUAUAAAGAAACUUAAAAGAAGAUGUGAAAUAAAAGUGUGUUAGGUAGAAUAGUAAAAGUCACAUUUUUCAUAGCUUAAGUUUUUAGUUUGACGUUUAUUAUGAAGAAUCCUCUAUAAAAGUAUUUCAUUUUUUUUGUAUUGAAAGAUGGGUUUUUAUGGUAUCAGAACCAUGUAAUAUUGAUAGUAAUAAGUGCUAUAUGUUCAACAUAUUUUUUAUCAUGAGUAUCAUCAAAAAAACAAGUUACUACUAAAAAUAAUAUAAAAGAAGAGAAUGAUAUGCCACAACAUUUAGAUCUUCUUAAUAAAUAGACAAUUUCUGAAGUUCAACUCAAGCUUAUAUACCAAAUGAAAACUUUUGAAAAAUUGGGUCUCAAACAAAUUGUAAAAACGACUGAAGAAACUAUUAUUAUUAAUGAUGAUCAUGCUACAUUUAGAUUAUUAUUUGAAAAUAAUUUGACUCCUUUUAAGGAAACUCGUAGAGUCAUGCAUAUUAGACUUACACAAUUUGCAUUUAAACCACUUACUUUAAGAAGUUUACCUGAAAACUUUAUAGCUGCUUUAAGAGAUGGAAGAAAUUAAAAUUGAAAAAUGUCUCUUAUAGGGCCUAUUCAAACAAGCUUAUCUUAUGGCCUAGUAUAUUUUAAUGUUUAUCCUAAUUUACAAAUAUCUUUGAAUGGUGAGAAUUCUCUAAAAAUGCUUUAGUAUUAAGUGUUAAAAUUACAUGAUUAUAAUUAUAUGCCAGGAACUGAAGUUAUAUGUAUAUGUUAUAGAAUUUAGGGAAAAGGCAUCGUUUCCACCCUAAACUAUACCCGAAAAGUCUAAGUCACACCUAAACUAUACUAGUGACCUAUUACACACCUUAACUAUAAAAAAAAGUGAUAUUAUUACCUCCCCGCAACCCUCAUUCUAAGGCGCGUGUGUUACACUUAUUUUAGGCGCAUCCAGCCUAUUAAAUAACAAAAGUAAACGGCUAAAAACAUUAAGGGAAAAGUCAUCGUUUCCACCCUAAACUAUAGUUGAAAAGUCGAAUCCACACCUAAACUAUAUAAGUGACCUAUUACACACCUUAACUAUAAAAAAGUGAUACUUUUUACUGACGCGGUGCUGACGUGGCAGCGCGUGUAAAACACUACACCACAUGCAAGUGGUGGUAGCCUGACAGGGUGUAAAUGGUUUCACUUUUUUAUAGUUUAAGUGUGUAAUAGGUCACUAGUAUAGUUUAGGUGUGGCUUCGACUUUUGGGGUAUAGUUUGGGGUGGAAACGAUGUCUUUUCCCUAGAAUUUAUUAUAAACUUAUAUAUACUUUAGAUUCUAUGUGUAAGAUUAUGGAUUUUAAAAAUGAGACUAUUUUAAUAGAAAUAAAUUUUUGUAGGUCAAAAGUUAUUACUAGAAGGCCUAUUAAAUGAGAUGAAAUUGACUGGCCUAUUAAAUGAGAUGAAAUUGACUUUCUCAAAAAAUAAAUUUUUGAAGAAGGUACUCUUCUCAAAAUAAUAUGAAUAGUAGAAUUAUAGAAGUUGAACAGACCACAAAGGGUACUGUUAAAAUCAAAUUUUUCGAUCCCACACCUUUUAUAAAUAAAGUUGAUAAUCUUAGUGUUGCAUCUAAAUUGACUAGAUCAAUCUAUUCUUAUAUUUCUUCUAUUGAUUAUAUCGUUAAUUCUUCGUCUAGAGUUUUUGCUUCUCAAAUUAGAGAAAACAAUAGAGUGAGGAAUAUUAGAUUAGAUAGAGAUAUAUAACUUAUGUUAUCUCAAAUGUGGAUCCAACCGAAUUUGAAUGAAUUUUUCUACAGGUUUGAAAUAAAUCAAAACAAAAUUGAUUUUAAUUCGGGAUUACCAACAAGAAAAAAAAUCUCAAAUGAGUUCUUUAAAUUCAGGUAGGAACUUUUUAGAAAUUGAUUUUUUCAAAACUCUAAUAAAUAAGAAAAGAAAUUCUUUCAGGAAAAAAUUUAUAAAGAUCUUUCUGCUUGUAAUAAGAUAAUUGCUUUUGUCCUAUAAUUUAUGGCUAAGUAUGUUGAUAGUUCUAUCUCUAUGUUAGAAAAAGAUUAUAAAUUAAGUAAUGGUAAAAUCACCAAAUCAAUUUUUCCUCCUCGACAAUCUUUUCAAAUUGAAAAGAUGACAAAGUAGUUUAGUUUACUGCAUCUGCUGAAUUACUUGAAAAUGAUACUGCUAUUAUUCUGAAUGUGUUAAUGCUAUGAUUAAACAGUAUAAUAGUUAUAUGAGCAUAUUGGGCGAACAGAUUGUUUCUAUACAUGAUAGAAUUGAUAAAAUAUUUUCUAAAUUAAAGAAAAUAGAUUAUGGUGAUUAAAAAAAAGUCUUUCUUUUUACCACUAAUAUCCAACCUGCCCCUGAUAUUAAAGACUUAAAAUUAAAUAAAGAUUUAAAAGAUUCAGAGAAAUUAUUAGAAGAAAAAUUUCAUGGAUUAAAAAAUAAUCCUAUAAGCAACCAUAAUAGUAUUAAAGAUAAUCAUGAGAUUCCUAGUGAUAUUCGUAAAAUCUCAGAGAAACAUGCUAAAAAAUCAAUCCAAAAGAUGUACUACUAUCCUACACCUAUUCUCCAGAUUUUUAUUGGAAGAACAAGAGAUAAUAGUCUCUAAUAGUUAUAAUGGAAAUGAAAUCUAUUAACAAAACAUAGAUGAUUACACUGAGAGACAGAUUUCUAUAGUAGUACAUUGAAUGUUGAUGUAUAGUACAAUUUGCAAAGUUCACAAAACAGUGAUAAAAUUAUUGCAGAAAUUAUUAUUGCUGGAUUUAUUGAUCAGUUAAAGGUUGAUGGGAUAAUUAUUUAACCUUAGAUCAGUGUUUCAGGAUAUUACAGUCAAUUAAGAAUGAAGAUGAUCAACUUGUUCAGAAUGUUGUUUACUUUAGUCCUUAAUAUUAUGGAACAUUUUUCAGGAAGAUGAUAUGAUAAUAGUGAGAUCAUUAUCACUAAAUCCGACGGUAUCUCCC